UUUUAACUUAGAACUCAAGGAAACGAGAUAAAAAUUAUGAAAAAUCUUCAACUCGAAUAAGGAAAUCAGCCCAACAGAGAGCAAAUUUAAUUACAGCAUCUGCUAUCCUGUUGCAAACCUUUGAGAUAUGACAAAUGUGAAAUUUUCGUUUUUGUUCAAUAAGUUACUAAAUUUUUUAAAAUAAUCUAAAACAGCUUAGUACGAAUAUGAAGCUCACAUGAAAACAACUUAAUUAUAAGAAACAAAUCUAACUCAACUAAUAAUGAAAAUAAAUCAAUCUCUAGUGUGUUGCAAACCAAAGCAUAAGUCUUUCGCCUCAACAGCGUCAACAUCAUCUGAAUAAACCCAAUAUCAACACCCGCCACCAUCCCCAAAGCCCAAACCCUCAUGAUUUUUAGCACCACCACCAAUUAAAAGUUAAAUCUAUUUCUGCAUCAGUAUAAAGCUUUAAACCAACCCAAUUGUGGGGGCACCCAUGCUACUGUAGAAAGAUUCUUUGUCGCCAGAUCUGCCCCACGGCAACCCAGUUCACAGAAUUACGUGAGUCCCGAAGGCCCCUCAGCCUUUAGCCACCACACAAGAAGGCCUCGUUAGCGUCCCUUCACACGGCAUCUUAUUCCGAUCUAUCUCCCCAGAUUCCCCACAUAAACAACGUAGACAACUGUGGAAUUCAGCAUCAGACAAAAGCAGAUUGGAAAAAUUCAAAGCCACCCCUCUAGCAUCCAAAAUUGCAACGCAAAACAGUCUUGGCAAAAGAUGUCGGAUUAAUCCACACCUCUUUAAUUACCAUGCUGACAACAAACUCCCGAAAUAGACAACCAGCGCCUUGAGGCCUUGAGGCCUUGAGACCCCAGUAGAUUGUAGAAGCUUCAGCAGUAGCACAAGACAUAUUCUUUAUCUGCGCGGCCAAAAAAUUCGAUCCGGACAAUGUCUGCUUUUGAAAUUUCGAAAGGGAAAUAUUGGAAUUAAUUAGCUUUACAAAGAAAGUCGGAAGUUAUUGUCGCCAAAACUCAAAAAGUGUGAGUUGACAAGCUUAGCUGAUAAUUUUUCUCUCUGAUUUUUCCGUAAUAUAUAAAAGGGUUUUGUUAUAUUACAUAAUUAUGUAACAUAAAUAAUUAUGUAGCAGCCGUUGGAUGAAAAUCCAACGGUUGUGAAAAUAAUAUGAUUUUAUUAUCUUAUAUUUCCAUAAUUGUUGGAUGAAAAUCCAACGGCUGCUACAUAAUCAUGUAACAUAACACUCUCGUAUAUAAAAAGUUUGGGUGAAAAAAAUUAACUAAUUUUCUGUGAUAUUAUACUUAAAGCAAAAAAAAAGUUUGUGGUGCCAAAAUAAUUUCAUCAACACUCUAGAAUUUCGGUCCACGUUAAUUAUCCCAUUUGAAUAAAUUAAUAACAUUUUGAGACAAAUCGAUAAACAUUUAGGCAGUGCAGUGCUUAAUCUGAAGCAAAGUAGAACAAAUUUAGCAAUUUCUAUUACAUAUGAAAUAUGACAAUAGGAUUAACUAUGGUUUUGGGAAUAAAUACCGCAAGUAUCUGCAAAAAGGUGGCACAAUUGAGUGUGUGGCUGUGUGCAAGAUAAGGAUUUGGAAAAUGAAUAUUGAAUAGUUUGACAUUCGGCUUCUAUUGAGAUUGGCUGUUUGAGAGAAAUUAAUAGAGGGAACAAAUUCAAGUGGCCCAUUUGACGUGUUUUUCCAAUUAUAUAAACGCGAAAAUUGAGUUAUCAUGAAAUAGACUUGGGGUUUUCAUUGCUUGAUUGACCGUAUAAUCAAAUAGAACUGAACUUUGCAAAGACAAGGUAAGAAAACUAAUUUGCUUUGAACAAAUUUUACAAAACUUUUGAUUUUCGUGGAACCCAAAACUCCCAUGAGUCGUGUGGUCCAAAGACAAAGAAAAUCGAACCAAUUUGAUUGAUGUUAGGGGCCCUACAAUUCAACGGCUUCUUUAAUCUUUUUGACAUGCAUGAGAGACUUUUUGGAUAUUGGUUUUAGCUUUUGAAGUAAACAAAAUAACGAUUGCGUUUUUUAAACGCUCACUACGACAUAAUCACAUAAAGGAGACGGCACAGCAAAUAGGCAGUGUAUUAAGCUCAGCAUCAAAAGAUUGGAUUGGAUAUUGGAAAAGAUGUGAUACCAAAGCAAGGAACCCAUAGAAGCCACGAGCUAAAUAUGUUGAAUACUAGCACCCUAUCGUUUCUUUCACACGUUCCCCGAAAUUAAUUUGUCCUUUUUUUAUUUUUUAUUUUAUAUUUUCCUUCUCUCUCUCUCUCUCCCUUUACAUACAGUCAUUAAUUUGCCUCAAAAUGCCGACAAAAGUUGUACAAAAUUUUACAUAUACAAGGAGUUAGAUUUACGUUUCCAAAUAGUUAAAAAGAAAGUAAUUUAGCACCCGAUUAAUAGAAACUUUAGAGAUCAUGAAGUAAUUAUAUAUUAUCUUGGUUGGGAAGAAAAGAAAGAAAAAAGUUGAAGAAGAUCUUUUUUUUUUUUUUUUAUGAGAAAAAAGUUGAAGAUAUUAAUAUGGCAAGUAGGGUUUGAUUGCUACUCAUCAUUUGUCUUGCGCAACAUGCAUGAUUAUGGAAAGAGAAGGAUAAAAAAAAAAAAAAAAAAAAACUGGUUCCUGUUUCAUGAUGGAAUCUAUGUUGUUGUCCAAAUAACUGAAUAAAAAUCAAGCUGAUCCCUCACUCUUUGGAGGCUUGUUAAUGAUACAACCUUUCCAGUAUAGUCUUGAGCGUUACGUACAAGUGCCUAGCGCGUGCGUUUUUAAUGAAGGUCCGAUAGGAAGUGAUCAAAUUGAUUAAAUGUAUAUGUCAAUUUUCUUUUAAGUUUUUUUCGGUGGCGAAAUUUGGAUUCUGAUUUGACACAUUUAUAAGUCACAAAUAAAUUUGAGUAGGUUAUAACAUAAAAAUAUAAAAUUAAAUAGACAAUGAUGAGGAUUAUAAUGUAAAAAGAAGAAUAUAUAUGUGUUACAUAAUAUCUGUACAGAUGAAGGGACUAAUCGUGAAAUAAGAAUAACAGAAAUACCCUAAAUUUUGUAUACAAUUUCAGUCAAAAUUCUUAUCUUCCUGUAAAGCUCGAUGUAAUCCAACCAUUUUACACAUAUAUCAUCAAGUAUCAAUCAAUACAUUAUUCUUUUCUUUUUUUCAUUAUCCAUCUCUAAUCUCAUUACUGCUACCUACUAGUCUCAACAGUUCGUACACGUGGCAUGAUCUUACUCAAGCAACUGGACCCACCUUAAAGGGCUAGAGGGGAACCUAAGAGCAUCACCAAAAAACUCUUCAAAUAAGAUUUUAUUACUUAUUUGGAGAGUCACAUCAAUAUUUAAAGCUCCAAAAGACACUCCAAUUAAGAUUUUUAAAAUAAAAAUUGAUUCUCUCUCUUCAAAUUUGGAGAGUUAAUUUCUCUCUCUUCAAUUUAUAUAUUUUUUUCAUUGAAGAAAGAGAGAGAACUGCUUUAAUUGUUAUUGAUUUUUCCUUUAAAAAACUAACUAUAUGAUUAAAAUAAUAUUAACUUAUUUAUUUUUGAAGAGUCUUUUGGAAAAUAUCAUAUUUUUUUUCACCAUUCUAUUUGCCACAUAGGUAAGCAAAUAGGUAUUUGAAAAGUAAAGUUUAUAGAGGUUUUUGAAAAUGCUCUAAGAGAUUUGUAGUCAUUUUCAUCUCUGUAGUAUCUCAUUGCGCAACGUAUGGGGUAGAGAGAUCAAGUCAUUUGACUUGUAUCCACUUUCAUCAUUGUUUUUACGGGCAUGAUUGGAAUUUUAAGCAAAAGAAAGGGUAUAUUUGGGUUUUUAAAGAUUCUUAACUAUAGAACUACCCUGCAAAAUCUUGAAAAGACCAAAAUGAGCUCCAUGUCACGAGAUGAAGAUUUUGUGCAACUAUUCCAUGAGGUACUUAAACAAUCUAGUUUGAUAGUUGUUAAGUAAGCAUAUUGAACUUCUCGAUUAGUUAAGUGCGAAAGAGGUAGAGAGAAUAGUGAGCAAUUGAGCCAAAGAGAAUUAGUGUUAUUCAGAAGAGUGUCUGUACAAGAGAGGUUAAUAACUUACAAGGCUUCAUGCUUGAGUUGCUUGCUCUUGUUGUGUAAUGCCAAGCGUCAUGCACCUAUUUAUAGGGGAGGCCUUACCUAGAUCUAGAAUGUUCUAUGUCUAGAGCGUUCUCAAGACUUAGUGAGAGCUCUCAUAUCUAAAAAUGCCUAGAAAUUUCUAUAUACAUGCUACUCUAGCUAUUUUCAAAGACUUCCUAUCCAUGUAUAAGUUAUGAAAGUGCGCUGGAGUGUGCCAUAACUGGAAGCUUUUAAGAUCAAGCCAAGCUAGCAUACCUUGACUUGCAAACUUAGCCUCUUGGCUGGAAUUUUGAGUAAUCCGUGACAAUCGGCUGAGCUAAAUAUGAGAAAUUGUAUUUUAUGAUCGCAAAGUUAAGAAACAAAGUCAUCUGGUCAAUGGGUGCAUGGCCCACGUCAACAACCAUCACCAAAACAACUUUCUAUGUUGAGUCCAACAAAACAAUCGCUUGCCGAUUAUAUUCUUCUUUUUAACUGUUUUUGCUCUUUGGCUUUACCAAUAUAGUCACUUUUUUAUUAAAAAAAAACCAGAAAAAAAGAACAUGAUUUUGAUCGCCUAAAAUAAUAUCAUUUUUAAAAAGAAAAAUUCUUCAAAUUUUCUCGGCCUUUAAACGUGAUCGAUCACUAUUUAUUUAUUUAUUUAUUUUUCAUUUUAUACAGCGAAAAAUAAUUGAUGGUGUGGACCUCAGCGGGUGGGCCAAAAUGUUUUUGUCAAACGGAUGAGAAGACAAGUGGGGAAUAUGAUGCGUAAUUUGGCUAUUGUCCACUAUUGAAGUGUAUUGUUGUCCAAUCUUUCCAUUUUUGGAUAAAACGGAAAGAAAACGAAAAUAGUGGUGCCCCUAUUUUGUUUUCUUUUUCCCAAGUGAUAAAAUGAAACUAAAACAAAAAAAUGGUCUCAAAACCAUUAGCUGGGCUGGUCGCCUGGUCCACCGGCGCACCUGCAAGUCCCAACCAUGUAAAAUCGAUCAUAUCACUCGCUGUAAAAGGGGUCAUCUCAUAUAAGUUCACAAACUCGCAUUGGGAUUUGGGCUUCGCAGCCCAGAGAUUUCCAAACAAGAGCAAGUCUCCAGUCGAGCUUUUAACAGGCCUCUAAAAUCCUUAUAGCAUCCCUUUUAAAUUUAUUUCUUAGAAUACCUUCAGUUAAAUUAAUAAAAUAUAAAUUUAUAUAUUAAAAUUAGUUAUUUUCUCACAAAAUUUUAACCAAAUUUUUUUUUUAAAAAAUUACAUACAAAUCCUAAAAUAUUCAAUUUAUUUUAAUUUUUUUCUUCUUAUUAUAUAAUUUCAAUUCUCAUAAUCCUAAACUCUUAUAACUUUCUCUAAAAAAUAUUUUUUAAUUAGAAAUUAAAAUAUAGAUAUAAAUAUAAAUCAUGAAAUGGAGUGGAGUGGGUGUAAAAAAGUUUCUCAAAAGAAUAAUUUAUCAAAUUCAUGUUUUGUUAUUUAAGUAAUUUCAAUUUAAAAAAAUUUAUAAGGAAUUUUGAGAGGUGUCAAAAGGCCUACUCAUAAGUUUCACGUGUAUUGACCUAUAUUUGAAAUUACUAAUGGAAGGUAAAGUGAUUUUUAUAAGAUAAAAAGAUAAUAUUGCUAUUCAGUAAAAAAAUUUUAAAAGCUUAUAUGGCUAUAUCAAUGCUCUCUUCUCUCUCUCUCUCUCCAAUUCUCCUUUAGCAUGUUCAUUCUUUGCCCUAUUUAUUAUCAAUUAUUUUGAGAGAACAAAAAAUAAAAAAAAUUAUAAAAUACAAAUAUUAUUUCUUUGAUGAUCGACAAUUAUACAUACAAUAUUAAGAAAAUAUAUUAAACUUGUACAUGUGUGAGUAAGUUUCAUUUUAUAUUAUAUCUAUUUUAAUCAUUUGCAUUAGUUUAAUAAUAAGAUUUGUCAAAUACAUAUAAUUACUUUUAAAACUCAACACUUUUAAAAAUAAAACUUAUCAAACAGUUAAUUAUUGAUUCUCUUCACAACUUAAUUAUUUUUAAUUUUUUACAACACAACUAUCUAAAAUCAUCUUAAAAGCUACGAUUAAUAAUUGAUCCUUAGUUAAUUCUUUAAAUACCCAUUUUGCACUUAAUAAUAGUAAAAGAACUAAUAAAUUAAUUUUUUUUAAAAAAAUUAAGAACAUCAAUGUAUUUGAUUUGAGAAGGAUAAAAUACACACUCAAAAUGAGCUAAAGGUAACGGGAACUUGGUUUCUUUUCAUUAAUCAUCAUUAUGAUUAAGGUUUUAAAGAUUUUUUUAAUCAAUUCGUAGCCCAUAGAUUUAUAAUAUAAUAUAAUAUAAUAAACAUGACACUACCAAAUCUUAUUUUAUUUAUUAAUUAAUUAUACAAAAGGCCAUUGCUUAAUUAUUUAUUUAUUUGUUAAUUGGUUUACUUCAAAUCUGAAACGAUUAUCAAGGUUGUUUUGCAGGGAUUUUUAUAGAAGUUCGUUCUCAAAGAUACCGACGUUUUGUACUAUGAAUUUUAUUAUUUCAAUAUUUUAAGGCAAAAUAAGAGAGACCAUAAAUAAAGCUAUGACUAAUCCUUGUCGCUGUCCAUGCCCAGCAUGUUCUUUUAAUAUUUUAACUAUAAUACAUGAGUUUUUGUUGGUUAUUUUAUUUUUAUAAUAUUAAAGUAGCCUUACAUGAAUAAUGAAUUUCAUGGACUAUCUUAGCUUUCAUGUAACUUUCAAACGCAACAUUUAUAAAUAAAUUAGAAAAAAAAAACUAUAGAAAUGUGAAUUAAAGUAUUCAUGACCCAUGUGAACCGAUCAGUAGAUGUCCCAUAACUAAUCAUAAAUCAAUGAACUAUUAGACAAGCAUUGGUAGCUCGAACAAUAAUCAAAGGUUUGAAGACUAAAUAAAAACCUAAUAUUAUAUUAUAUUAAUUACUUGGAAAAGAAAAGGAGAAUGAUGCGUUGCGUGUUCGGUGUAUGUGUAUCACGUACGUGAAAGAAAAAGAAAAUUUUGAGACAGGCUAUGUCAAAAUUCAAACCAAUUAUGUCAAAUUGAUAUAUCAAUCUUAGGUGUCUUCGAAGCUGUGUUGUCUUCUUUUGUCACAGCAUGCAUUUUUUUUUUUUUUUUUUUUUGGUUGUUUAAAUCUUAAAAGUCAGCUGGUUAAUUCUAUAUUAAUGUUGCGAAUUUAUGGGCAAUCAUUGCACCAGGGCCAUGGGCGACGUAUAGAAGGCUUGCUUCCUCAUGAAUCAAUAGCUAAACUAUGUAAAUCUUGCUUCGUGAAUUUGUCUAAUGUCAGCUUCGGAGAAGUAACAAACAGGAGGAAGCAAUUCAUUUUGCAUAAGAUACUGUAAUAUAAAUCUAAAUUUGCUGUAUCUAACAAAAUCUUGCACCGCUUUGUUCUCUGUAUUUAAUUAAUCAGAUUUCAAUCCAACAAGGGGCAUCCUCUAACACUUCAAGCAAUUUGGAAAGGAUCUAUUCCGCACCAAAACUGAAGAUCACAAUAGGGUUUGAGCUUCAAAGAAUGUGGUGGUGGUAUAUUAUAUCUUCAUAGAUACUUCAAACGGCAUGAUCUUAAGGGUUCCUGUUGUCUUGACGACUGUUGGCAUUCUAUAAGCUACCCAUCCAAUAAAUCAACUUUUAUUAACUGCCUACAACAACUAUGUUCAACUGAGGAAAUGAACAUUUUACCUAAGCAGCUAAAUCCACGCACUUGACUGCAUAAUUCUAAGAAAUGCAAGUCCUGUGCUCGCACUAUCAUAACUCAAUGCAUGGAAAAUUCACGCAGCAAUUAUCAGCCAAAAGGCAAACUGCCUUGACAUACUCCUGAUUUCUUGCUUCAGCGACAUCUUCUCCCUUUCACUCUCAAUUUUAAAACUUCUACAAUAUCAAAAGCUUAUCGCUACCUAAUGAUUACUUUCAAAAGUAUAGACACAAGUAAAUUUAUUAGAUUGAGGAAAGGAACUUCUGUUCUAUGAUUAUAACAACCAGUUUGAACCAAAUAACCUGAAAUUAUACCAUGAUAUGGAGUAAGGCGUCAGAAUGCACAAUAUCAAAUCAGCAUGCAAUCAAAAAUUCACUCAAAAUAAACUGAGCUUUCUGGUAAGAUCAAUGUCAUUAAAAGUUCACAUUUGUUGUCAGAUAUACAACAAACUAUCGCCCUCUUAACCAGAAGAUAAUGUAGCUUCUCAUAUGAAAACACCAAAAUGCCAUAGUAACAAUAUCAAGUCCAGAAAUGUAACACUCCACUAAACUUUCCAGAUAGAUGUUUUCUACUUCUUGGAAUACAAGUCUUGUUCAUAUACUAGACGAAGAACAAGCAGAGGACUCACAGGCACAACAAUUUGCAGGGAAUAAGGCAUAAAAGAGAUGCCAACAACAUAGUUCAAUAUAUUUAUUCACUUAUUAAGUAAAGCAAGUUGGAACCUCUAUAGUAGAGUGUGAGUUGCUAAAAAACAACCCCCUGCUUGCCAAAUAUUUACACCUCAGCACCUCCAAGCUGAUGCAGAGAUAAGUUCCCGCUGCUGCCAACAGAGGACAAGUGAGGCCUGGCGCUUUUCAACAUGAAAGCCCCUCACUGGAGUCCUCUUCACCACACAUUCUGCCUGAGUUUCGGUGAAGUUACUGAAUGUUACGGGGGAAAACCCAGCCGAUGCAAAGAGUGUUUUCCACAUUGGCAUUCUGUCCGGGCCCCUGAGCCGCCCCAAUACCACACUUUCAAUUCUAGGCUGAAGAAGGAACCUCUCAAUCUUAUUGAGAGCGUCAGGCAUCACGUUAACAGCAUCAAGCGAUUCCAGUAGGUUUAUAUAUGAUUGGAGGGCAUGAAGAAUAUGUUCCGGGAAAGGCAAGUCACUUUUAUCACAUCCUCUAUCUGCUGAUACCACAAUUUUUGGCGAAAGCUGCUUCACAAAGCGAAGGAGAGAGGGCAGUGCAGAGGGUUGAUUCGAAGAAGACCAAAUAGGGAAAUUCACAGCAACAGCCUCAUUUUCACUUGACUGGAGAAUGGGCAGUGUGUAAGAGGUUUGAUCUAAUGACUCAAAGUUAAUCACAUCAAGCUCAAAACUAACACCAAUCGCAUUAGCAAACUGAGUCAGAUUCUCACGCAUAAGCCCCAGCUCUAUAUGAUGGUGAGUGGAAGGAGAAGCAAAGGCAGUGAUUUUCAUUGAAGGAGUACCCCUAUUACUUCUCAUUGAGAGCUCCUGCAUAAAUGAAGCCCACUGAGCACCGAAGCCAAUAUCAAAGUCCACAAUGUGGAUUCUGUCAGCAUCAUCAAGAGCCUCUAAAAGAGCCUGGUUGCAAGUAAAGUUGAUGAAUUGAAUAAGAGGAGACACUUCAGAGAACACCUUGUAAGCUCCCAUUUUAAAGAUAACAUCAACUGGAGUAGGGCUUCGUGGUGGUGGGUUGGUGACUUGGUUGUUCAUGAGUAGAAACAACUGCAAAGCCUCUUUGAAGUAGAAAGCAGCCCUUUGAAGGGGCUUACCUACAGGAAAAACCUGGUGAUUGAGCCGCGCCAAUAUCCCUUGCGCGUGUGAGAAAUUCCCAGUUCCCACCAACUCUGCAGCCUUGUAGAGCUGGUCGAGUAAAGCAUGUUGUUGCCGAGACAUCUCUUCACUCCCUGGACUUAAAACCUUCUGCUUUGCUGAUACGAUCAAACUUUUUUGUUGAAAAUGCUGAGGAAGAAAAUGCACAUUUUGAUAAAAACCCAUUUGUUGUUGAUGGUUUCUGAGCAAGAACUCAUGGCGUGGAUCAGAGAAUGGUGGUUUGGGGACGUGAGGAGAGGAAAGGUCUAAACUUCCUCCUGAGUUGUGGCGCUUUGGUUGUGGCUGAAGCAAGUGGCUAUGGUGGUGGUUUUCUUGGUGCAAAGGAUAAGCACUCACAGGGAAAAAAAAGUUCGGAUUUUGAUGGUGCUGAGACUGCACCUGUUGGUUAUUCAUAAAUAUCUGAGGAUUGAGAAUCUGUGGCUUCUCUUCAGGGGCUUCAACAAAGUUCUGAGACUGCUGGAUAUUCACACCAGGAGGCAAAGAAACUGGCGCAAGAGACACAUUACUGCUAGUUGGCGAACCAAAAAUUGGAUUUUGGUAAUUACAAUUGUUGUUGCUGUUGCUACUAUUCAAUCCAACACCAGAAACUACCUUGUGAUUGAGAUUAACCAAACCAGGUGAAGAACCAAUCUUCCCAUUCCCAUUGUUAUUUGAAAGCAAUUCAGAACCAGAAAAAGCACAUAAAUUAGUAGCAAUAAAAUUACCAGAUGCAAGGCUGCCACCCCCACCAACUGACUCAAAGUUUGGAGGUUGAUCAACAAACCCCAAGCCACCACCGCCAGCAUUGCCAUCAAAAUCAACAAAAGGGUUUUGACCAUUCCCAUUUCCGCCACUCUGCAAGAGCUGCUUCAGCCCAAACGGCGAGUCGUCCACAUCCCCGGCGAUCCACUUUAAGAUAGACUGUUCUUGACCGGAUUCCGAUAACAUGGUCUCCCAAUCUUCCAAGCCAAGACCGCAUCUUUCAGCUCCAGUAGGAAUCACCUCCAAGCCGUUUGGAAUCGACAGCAACUCAGUAGCCCACUCAUCUUUCCUUUCAUUGUUUAGCAAAGGAGACACCGGUUCUUGCGGGACUGAGUUGGUGGUGGUGGUGUUGGUGUUGUUGAGUGAGGAGGAAAGAGUGGAAGCCGAAGUGGGUGGGCUUUGGCUUCUUCUCAUAUGAAGGACAGAAGUUGGUUCGUUGUCAAUGUUACAAGAAAAACAGAAGCUGUUGUUGUUCGCUUGUUGUUGCUGUUGGUGUUUUUGUUUCCAUUUGCCUUGAGAGCAAAUAGGAGUGAAAUCUUCGAUUUUAAAAACACAUUUUUCUUGCAAGUGAGAGGGCACGGACAUUUGUUUCUUUAAAUCUUUCUCUCUAACUACUCAAAGUCAAUAACAAGACGCACCCAUUCCAGCAAAACGCUUGUUUAAUUUAAUCUCUUUUCUCUUUCUCCUCAGCCCCAGCCUCCCAUGUGCAUAUUUCAUCUGCCUCCUCCAAAUACAGAAACUUGGCUCUUGAUAGUAGACUGCUCUUGAAUUGCCGCUGGGGGUGCUGCUCUUGGUUCCUUUUUUUUCCCCCCCUUCUAAGAGCCUUGGCCUUGUGUCACGCCAGUACCUCUCUGCUCUGCCGUGGAUGCGUGCAUCAUAAAAAAGGCGAACAGAGUGUCCUCCCUCUUAACUCUUCUGCAUUUCUCUCUCUCCCUCUCUUCUGUCACUUUCAUAAUGCUAUGCCUAUACUCUUGUUUCCAAAGGGUAAAAUGGGCACUCCACGUUGUACUACAGUACACUAGCCAAUCAAAUUACACUACAGUCCUUAUCACAGGUUGUUUUGUCUGUGCAGUUGCGGUUAAACUAUUAUUAACUAGUACAAGCAAAGGCUCAAUGCUUCUCAGUUUUCAGUCGAGUGGCAGCGCAACACUCGAUGCGUGGGUACUGGGCUAGAAGCCCAGGGGCCUUGUCACUUUACUUUCAUCUCGUUUUACUGAAUUUCAAUUUCGAAGCUGCGGUUACAGUCACUGACAAGAACAGUUUAUGGGAAACAUAAUUUUCAAUUUCAAACCGUCAGACAGAAGCUGGGUUUGAGAUUGGGGUUAUACAAUUGUAAUUUAAAAAUUAUAAUAUUAAAAUAUUAAUUAUUAUUUUUAAAAAUUAUAUUAAUAUAAUUUUUUAUUUAUAUAAUAAAAAAUUUAUUAUAUUUUUAAUAAUUUUAUUAAAUUUAUUAUUUUAAAUUUAUAUUUAUUAUAUAUUAUUAAUUUAUAUUUCAUUUUUUCCACAAUAUCUUAAUUCCAAUCAUACCCAAAAUUAAAAUGUAAAAAUACGAACCUCUAAUGCUAUAAAAUAUAUCAAAAUAAUGCAUUAAUGUCCUUUUUUUUUUUUUUUUUAUCUAUCAACUUCGUCCGCAUUUUAAAAUCAUCCGGAACAUUAACACCUUAGCUACGUUGAUCUAUAAUGGACCUAAAAUAGCCUGUCCCAAAUAUCAAUGGUCAUUUUAUUAUUAGUAGUUUGCCUUGAUUUCUUAAUUACAGACACUGUCUGUAAUUCUGUAACCCCCCUUGCAUGUUCUGUUAGAAAAGGCAAAAGGCCGGACAAGUGAUGCCUCUUCUUCCUAUUUUGCCCACAAAUUUAUUGUUUAUUACUACUCUUCUGUCAACUGGCUAUACCAAAAUUGGGGUUUUUCUUCAUUAUGCAAAUUGCCAAAAACCUGAAAGAAAGUAUGAAGCGUGAUCUUACAAAACGACUUUUUAUGGACAGAUGGGAGAAAAACAUGUGUUGAGAGAAUUUGAUUCAUUUUCUUGACAUCACAAGUUCUUAUAAUGGCUUUUAAUAGGGCACACUUUAAUUUCCAACUAUCGACUAAUGGCUGCAAUUCAAAGCACAAAUUCUUUAAAACCAAAUGUCUCGAGAAUUUCCGAAUAUAGGUUACGUCCAAAAAGGCCCGUAUAGAUUUUUCUUUUUUCCCUCCAACUUUUUUUUUUCUUUUGAGUUGCAAUAAUUUUCAUACAGAACAAACAAGCAUACCGGUAAAUGCUUGAUAAAGAUGUAAUUAAGAAAAGAAAAAAGCAGCUAAUAAAAGCAUUACCGGUCAUUAUAACUCAUUACACAGUUGUUAAAUUUCUGUGAAUCUGAAAGGCAGUCCAUGUUCAAAAACUAAAACCUUCGUCGUUAAGUAGAGACCUGUUGCAUUGGUGCUGCUCUCUAGCUUGACCUUAUUAUACAGUUUAAAAUGCGGUUUCAAAUAAUCUUAAAACGUAUUAUUAUUUACAGAACACGCAGCCAAUUUACGUGGUUUGAGAAACUUCAUACAAUUGAAGGCCAAAUUGUUGAGGGCUGGGGAUGAUUUCUAAUUAUUAAACUCCAAAAACUUGUCUAUUAAGUAGAGUGACCAAUCAUAUUUAUUACCUCAAUUUGAGACAAAACACAAUAAUCACCUGCAAUAAAACAACUGCUAUACCUCGAUCAUUUCGUUCGACACACAUGAGUUGUUUCACCAUUGUUUUAUGACUACUAAAGUUAAAUUAUGAUAUUGCGAGUUUAGGUCUAAUAUCACUUAUUGAACGUUGAGGCUUAUGAUUUCUAGGUAUCUAACUUAAAAAAUUAAUCUAUUAGGUGGAGUGACUUAUUACUAGGCAAAGUGGUAUACAACUCAGCAAUCCCUCUUUCCAACCCACAAUAAUUUGACUAUUGGGGUCUAAUUCUAAUACCACUUGCUGAGUGAGACUAGUCUAUUGAGUGAACCUCUCUGCUAGCUAAAGUGGGCCAUAGCUCAACAAUCUCCUCCUCUCAAGAAACCACUUCUCGAGCUAGUGUUUCGCCUAACACAUCUUUGUUGUUUCACCACAACAUUCUGUCUAUUAGGAUUUGAUUCUGAUACCACUUGUUGGGAAAAUAGGUUUGUGAUUUCUAAAUAUCCAACCCAAAAGACAAGUCUAUUGGGUGAAAUGACUCAUCUUACUUAUAAAUCUCAGUAACUCACUUUACUAAUUAAUAUGGGACACAACUCAACCCAUAAAAUUAUUAAUUUAGUAAUGAAAAAUUAUAAUCUUUUAUUAAUUUAGUAAUGAAAAAUUAUAAUCUUUUAGAUUUAAUUAAAUUAGGACUCCCUUUUAUGUGUGUUAAGAGACCGUGACAUAAGUGACGAUCCCAAAUGGACCUGUAGCUGCAAAUCAAUAUUGAUUGAAUUCGAUCUACUUAUACCAUUACCCAAUGCAGCAAAGUAGGCAUGAAUCAUUUUUACAUUAAGACCAUGGUUUCUUUUUUUUCUUUUUCUUUUUUGUUUACAGCAUAUCAAUUACGAAUGAUCAGGUCAAUCACAAGUUUUUUUUUUUUUUUUUUAUAGUUGAUUUGUCUAAAAUGAUAUUCCAGCUGUCCUAGUACAAAUUACGCUUCCUUUGACAUUAAAUAUUAAAUUACAAUAUUUGAUAAACACUAAUAACUUUGAUUUAGAAACAGCAAUUAGAGAUUAUAUUGUAUAAUUUACAAAUUAAGAGUCAUGUUUAUUCAAAAAAAAGGAAAAAAAAAAAAGUCUCUGUCUAUAGAUUUAACAGUAAGAUGAAACAACACUACAUUAAUUAUUCCAACAGAGCUAUGUUGGGUGGCGUCGGGGGAGAAGCAAUCAUGGACCCAGAAGGAGGGUGUAAAGUUUCCUUGUCCAGAUGACAUGCAUUAAAGAAAAAAAACAAUGGGUGUUGGUUAUUUGUGAGGAAGGGAAGAGAGUCUAGAGAGGAGACAUGCUUCUGCUUUGGUCUCUUUACUCUUACGAAAUAUCGUUUAAAAGGGAACCACGAUGAUUUUGGACAUGUCAGCAGUACAAAGCCAAUUUUGUUUACGUAUCAGUAUCAUUUAUACCAGCCCCAUGUGAAUGCGAUCAUCAUGCCAUGCAUAUUGCUUAGUCAAAUAAGAAGCGGAAUUAAUGCGACACAACUCAUCAAUCUCCUCUCUCUCUCUCUCUCUGCCCCAUCACUAGUGAUAUGAAUAAUCAAAUCAAUCAAUAUCUACUGUUUAGAAGUUUUCAUUUGUCUGGCAUUUCGAAAUCUUAAAGUCCAACGCUGUGCCCCAUCAUUGGUGAUAUGAAAUUCAUUUCUCACAAGGUUCAUUACCUUAUUGUGCAGUGCGUGCAACUUUUGUUAUUCAUAAGAAAAAAAAAAAAAGUAAAGAAAAUUAAAAAUUAAAGAUUGGUAAACGGAAUAAGGAAUAAGGAAUAAUGAAUAAUGAGAGUCGAAAUUUCAAAUUUGACGAGCCUAUCAUUUUGAUUUUUGAUAUGUAUGUAUAUAUAUAGAGAGAGAGGUUAUUUUUAAUAUUUCUCUUAUAUUAAUUAUUAUUUCUUAUUUUACCAACAAAGUGUUGGCUCCAUUGGUAAUGAAGUCUCCUUAAGUGGCUUGACUGGGUUUGCUCCCCAGUUUGAGUCGCAGGAAAUCGCCUUUGUUGGGAGAACUUGUGCCUCCAGGUUCGAGCGGAGACUUCUAAUCUGGGUUGUGGUACGAGCUUAAAGGUGCCUCCCACAGUUGGGACCCUCCCCAGGAUACCUAGUGGAUAAGACCAAAAAAAAAAAAUUAUUAUUUCCCAUUUUUGUUGGCUUAAAAGAUGGGUGCAUUGCAUGGCGCCACGUUCUUUCCGUCACCCUGAAGACAUCCCAAGUAAUAGUAUAAUUAAACAAUUUUUUUUUCCUGGUUGACGACUCCAUAAUAGAACCUGAAAACGAUUAUUAGAUAUAUUAUUAAUAACACGUUUUGCAUGCUCGAUAAGCGUUUGGUUUCUCCCUAAUAAUAGUAAUACCAUUCAGGAACCUAAAAUUUUCAAGUUCUUUGAAUCUGCCUAGAAGAUAUAUAUGUUAAAUUAAUGUGAUAAAUACAGGGUGUAUAUUUAUAUAUGCAUAAGCAACGUUUGAUCAACAGGCUCGUGAUGUUCGUGAUCAAGGUUACAAAAUGACCAUGAAUAUAGAACACUAUAAAGGAGUUUCAUACUGUAGAAAAAAAUAAGUUGAAGCAGAAAGAGUUUUUAAAGCCAAAAAUUAGAAAAUUGGAAAGCAAUACUAGAACCCAAUGGUGAAGUUAAAUGAAAUUUUUUUCGUUAAUUUUAAAAAUGUUCUCACUGGAACAUAUAUAAGAAUUUUAUAUUGAUCAAUUAUGCCUCUUCAACUAUCAUCAAAUUCUUGUCAAAAUUUUAUCUUUCUUUCAACUUCAAGCUCUCGUCUUUUUAUGUCUCUUUAUCAAAAUUUCUGCUUCCAAAAUUAAAAUCAAAGAGCAGAGCAAUUACAAAUUCCAAUAAUUUCAUUUCUAUUGAACAAAUAUUUUGAGGAUUAAAAUUUUAUACUGAUUGAUUAUGCCUCUCUUCAACUACCGUCAUUCUUGUCAGAAUUCAUCUUUCUUUCAACUUCAAGAUCUUAUCUUUUCAUGUCUCACUGUCAAAAUGUAAGCUUUUAAAAUUGAAAUCAAAGAGUUAGGACAAAUUUCAAUUCUAUAGAACAAACUUUUGAGGAGUAAGCUUGUUAUAUCCAAAAUAAGGUGCAUCUUGAAUUUCUUAUUAAUAAAUUUUAUCGACCAAUAAAAAAGCAUUUAAUUAAAAAAAAUCCAAAUCACCCCAAAAAAUAUAUUCCUAGCUUCACCAUUGCCAAAAGCUAAACACAUAUUAAUAUUAGAAUUUAAAAGAUCUAAACCUGGAGAUUGCAAGCUGAUCUUUGAUCAAUAGGACGGAAAAAUAUAUAUUAUAAGUGUAACAACAGAUAUAUCUGACGAGUUCCUUUUUUCAACAGAAGCAACUAUAAACUUAGUAAAGCCGUACGGAUGAAAGCGUAAUAUGUGGGUGAAUAAAUAAUCUUCAUAUAUAUAUAUAUAUAUAUAUAUAUGACCCUAUAUUUAAGGGCAUAUACACAUAAUCUGUUCCUCCAACUUCAAAGUGUUUGUUAAUUAAUUAAGGAAGUUGCAGAUCAUCAUUUAACAAAGUCAACUGGAAAGCAAAUCGAUCGACCGUCAGUUUGCUGGAGGUUGCAAAAGAGUAUAUAUAAAUAUAGAUUUUAUGAUAUUUGCUGUUUUAAUUAAUUUAGUGGAUCUGCCGACGUAAGAGAAAAGAGAUUUGGUGUGGCUUUGAUAUAUAACUUAGUACCCAAGUGGUUUAUAAUUUAAUUUGUUUUGAUUUUUAGCUUUUUGACUAACAAAAGUUAAAUAUACAAUCAAUCAUGCAACAUAAAAGUCACCGAUUUGGUGGUUAACUAGUAUUAUCGGCUUUUUAUUGUAAAUGGGGUUUCCUAUGAAGGAUGCAUGGGAGAUUUAUUAGCGACAUGUAUACUGUGGAAUCAACUUUUCAGAUUAUUUUGUUAUUAUAUUUAAAUUCAGAAUCCCAUCGACCGUUUAAUGGUGCUGUUUAAUGACCUUACAAACUGUAAAAGUUGUGCACUUUUCUUUUUUUUUCCCCCCCAUAAUUCAUGCAUCUUCAGUCAUCACUCAUCGGCUUUUAAAUAAUUAAGAAGAUAUAGUAGUUUUCCGACUUUAAUCCAAAAGUAAUUAAUUACAAUCUAAAACUGUUUUUGCAUGCAAGUAGAGCCCCCGUUCGACUCCGAAAUCAUCUUUUAAUCUUUCUCUAAAAGACUAAAACAGCCACUUUGUCAGAGUCAAUCAUCAUAAUUAAUGGUUCGCAAGGAAAAAUCAGAAUCUAAUUAUUUAAAGCUAAAUUAAUGCAGCAAAUUAUAUGCUCAUGGAGUCAUGCAUGGACCAGCAGUCACCAUAAUGGGUUGCUUUAAUGAAUAAUGAGGCAUUAAGAUUCCGCGUUUGUCGGUUGGCCAUGAGGAAAAGCAUGAAAUUUGCAAGUCAUUGGGAACUAAUAACGAAUAAUUAGCAAAUAACACAUCAAAGAAACAUACAAUCUUUGCUUUUUUUUGCCUGGGUUUUGCUAUUGUUGAUUGAGUCUAAUUUCAUUUUUAUUUUAUUUUUUCUGGCUGUGUCCAGUGUCCAAACACACAUUUCUUCCUUACGAAACGAUUGCUGCAAGCCAUCAAAAGCAGUGCAACAACCAUAUGUUCCCCCUUAAAUCAAACGUUCCAUCUUCUUGUCUUGUAUGUUUCUUUGGGUACUACACCCCAGACAAAAAAAAAAAGGUUCGUAAUAUGCGCUUCCCGUCUUUUAGUUUUCUUAGGGAAUGGGGUAGGAAACUGAGUAGUUUUGUUCUCUUCUUUCUUAUGACAAUUGAUACUCAAGACUGUAACUAGGGAGUAGAAAGCAAUACACAUGGCAAGGUGGGUGGAUUUGCACCAUGAAGGCACUUAUCCGUUGCAUGCGUGGCAUCAGCUGAUCAAGGAAGCCACUUGAAUUAAACGUCUUUGGAAUUUCUUUUUUCCUUUUUUUUUUUUUAAUACGGUACAGACGUACAGUUCAACUAAUUAGAAUUCAACACUAAUCAACAGGAAAAAAAUCAAUUCCCACCCAGUGUGUGUGUGUGUGUGUGUGUAUAAUUGGAAUAAAAACAGAGAAGCCCAGACUUGAAUCCAAAAUUGAGAGCUUGGGACUAUUGGUGCAAGGAGCCCACUGGCAAACAUCUUUGAAAUUUGAUGUUUAUGAAUUCUGAAUUGUAAUCUCUUUUUUUUUUUUUUCUUGAAAAGGGUGGAAUAUUAUUUUGAUUCUUGGGUUUUAUCUCAUAUGGAAUGCAUAAUUUCAUUAAAUCAUAUUUGGUAUCGCAAGCCUUGAUCACCUUAGUUGAGCGGUAGGCAUCUCUUCUUCUUCCUUUCUAAGUCGAGUGUUUGAGAUGUAGAGGUGAAUUAUGAUAGACUUUAAUAUACUACAAUGGUAGAUGAUAAUAGAGUUAUGUUCCAAUGAAGGAUUUUGCACUUUAGUUAAAGUGGGGGAUCUCGGUUGGAAUGACUCAUAAAAUUUAUACAAGAUAUGCCUUAUUAUAUGUAAAUUUUAAAUUUAAAAUAAAUAAUCAAUGAUUAGAUUCGAACACAUUGAAUCCAAAUAUUGUGCAUUUACUUCUCAAAUUAGGAAAUCGGAAUUAUUGACGGCGUUUACUUUGUAAAAUAGAGUUGGGAAUCAAAAUCGGAAUCGUGAGGCUCAUCCCAAUUGGGGAAUGGGUAACAGGAGAUUGAUUCUUAAGGGGGUGGUGGGAAUGAGUCUCCCAUUUCUAAGAAUGACCAUUUUGCACCUCCACAAAAUCAAAACUACUCAUUUUGCCUUCAAUAUAUUGUUAUUAAUUAAUUAAUUAUUUAUUACAAUUAAUUAAUAUAUUAACAUAUAAUUAACAAAAAUUAUAAAUAUUAAUACAUUUUUUAAUAAAUAAUCAUAAUAAUAAUUAUAUUAUUAUAGUUAAUUAAUUAAUAUAUUAUAAUAAUUAAUUAAUGUAAUUUUAUUAUCAUUAAUUAAUAUAUUAUAAACAAUAAUUAAUAAUAAUAAUAAUUUACAAAUAAAUAAUCAAUAUAAUUAAACUAUAAAAUAAUAAUUAUGACAAUAGUUCAGUAAGUACUUUUAAAUAAUUUAUUACAAUCUAACUCAUUCCGAUUAUAAUUCCUACAAUUUAAAAAAAUAAAUUAUUCCGAUUUCUAUUUUCCAUUCUCAUUCCAACCCAUUUCUAUUUCUACCUAUUCCGAUUCCAGCCAUUACAAUUUUAGUCCAGUAAACGCACUAUUAAAAAUUACAAACACUUUAGCUAAAGUGUGAGAUCUCUCCUUCGAUCCUAAAUAGUAAUGUAAUUGAAAAGAAAGAGGGGUAAAAAAAAACUAAUUUUUAGUGUCAACUGUCAACUGAGGCCGGUCAGUCAGUCAGUUGGGUCAGAUGAGAACAUAAUUUUGUUUAAACCUAUCCUUUUCGGAUUUGGGCUACCAUGCCCUUGCCCAAAGAGUCGUUGGGCUUACAUUUUUUAGUUACUUGGUGUUCCACAAAUGUGUUGCUUCCGGCACCCCACUGAACUCGUCGAAAAACUCCAAUUUUUGGAAAUUAUAAUUCUAUCUCUACACAAUUACAACUAAUCAGGAGUUGGACUAUUGACACCCCUCUCAUCUCCUCAUAAAACCCCUUUUUUAGUUAUAUUUAUUUUAUUUCCGAAAAUACUCUUUUUUAGAUACACUUUUUUAAGUUUUCAAUUUUCAUUUGAUUUGUUUUAUUGUUAAAACUAAAAGUAUUAUUGUGCUAUUUUUUUAAUUAUUUUCAAUUUUAUUAUUAAUCUACAUACAAAUUAAAAAAUUAUAUGGGUGAUAAGUUUUUUUAGUGUUAAUCAUUGGCUGAAAGAACACAUAUUUCAAAUUAUAAUUUUAAAGUAAUUUCAAGUAUAAAAAUAUUUAAUCAAUAAGAAAUCAAAAGAAAAUAAUAGAUUAUUCUAAAUUUGUACAAUUUAUUUUAGUUAAAUAGGAAGUAAAAUAUAAUUUUUUUUAAAAGGAUUGAUUAUGAAUUAAGUAAUUUGCUGGAAAAAAAUCUAUAAAUGUUUAAUUUUCAAUUGUCUUUAAUUGUGAUUUUAUUUAAAGUGGGGUUUUGUAAGAAUAAUGUAGGGUGCCAAUAGCUCAACUCUUACAUAAAAUGACAACUAUAAAUAACUCUUUAUCACAAUCUCUUUCACCCAAAUAUUAAAAACUCUUGAUAAGUAUUGUAUAAUAAGUUAUUAUCAUCUGGCGUUUCAUAUCACGCGUAUUUCUAUAAAUAAAUAUCUAUUGCAGAAUUUAUUAACAAGAAGAUAUAUAGAUAUUGUGGAGUUCUUUUGCCUAUAUUUCUCCUCCUCUUCGGUAGGUCUCAUUAUAGGGUGGUAUGAGUUAGCUUAAAUCGAAUUUGUAAAAACUUAAUCCAAUUCACUAUUGAUUGGGUUAAGAAAAAAUCAAUUCAACCUGAGUAAAUAAACAAGUCGAAUCCAAAUUAAUUUAACUUUUAAAUCAUCGGAUUUUGUUGUUUGAUUGAAUUGAUUAAAAUUAAAAAUUAAAAUUAUUCAAACAUAAAAGUUAAAAAUGACUAUUUGGUACUUUAAAAAUCAAAUUUAAAUAAUAAUAAAACACAUUAAUUCUCCAUUAUAACAUUAAGUGUGUGUUUACUUUACUUAUUUGGAAAUAAGAGUUAAGAAUCAUCCCAACUUUUUGUGUUUACUUCCAAAAUUAGUGUUUAAGAAUUGAAAUGAAUGGUGUGGAAUUCAUUCCCUGAAAUGACCAUUUUGCGCUUCCUUAAUUUUUGAAAUUUCAAUUAUGUCCUAUUACAAAAUUAAAUAAUAAUAAUAUUAAUUACUAUAAUAACAAUUCACAUUAUAAUAUUUACAAUAAUAAUAAUAAUAAUAAUAAUAAUAAUAAUAAUAUUACUAAUCAUUGCAACUAAAAUAACAAUUAUAAAAUUAUUAUUAUCACAAUUAAAUGAUAAAAAUAUUAUUAAUUACUGUAAUAAUAAUUACUUUUAAAAUAAUGAAAACAUAACAUUUUAAUUAAAAAUUAAUUCACUAAAAAAUAUCAAACUCAAUAAUAAGAUAAACAUGCAUAUAUUUCAUUCUAAAAAGUUUACUUAAUUUUUUAGUGAACAAAUGCAUAAUUUUAACUAAGGGUAUUUUAGUAAUUUUGAAUAAUUCAUUCCAAUUUAUUUUAAUUCGAAAAGAAAGUAAACACAUUAAUAACAAUACAACUCAUUUUGAUUGUAAUUCAUGUAGUUCAGGUAAAUAACUUUUUUCUAAUUCUCAUUCCUCAUUCCAAUUCCAAUAUAUUUCGAUUCCAACCUUAUUCCAAUUCCACAAAACAAACGCACCAUAAAUGUUAUCCACUGUACCCAACAUAUAUUGCUGUCAAUAAAUAACAUGACAUAAUGUUUGAAUAUCUUUAACUUAUCUUCUGUGAAAAAAUGGAAUUGAUUUUUGAAACAUUAGUUUAGAGAAUUCAAUUAAUGUCAUGUUUAAUAGAGAUAAUUUGAAAAAAGCCUCUUUUACAAAAGAACAAAAGGAUUCGAAGUUAGUUUAGCCAUUUAAUGUUUAACGGUUGGCUUUUUAUGGUUCUUGGUUGGGUUGGGUUAUUUAGGUUUAUAAUAAUGAAUUUGAUCAAUAGUAGAUCCAUAAAAAUGAUUUAUUGGAAGCUAAAUUACAUAAGAUAAGAUGUGAAAACUAAAAUUUUAUGGGUUAAUAAGUUAUGGAGGUUAUUUUGAUAUAUUUAAUGGGGGCUAAAUUAAAUAAUAGUAAAACCUCUCAUAUGGAUUACUAUAAGCUUUUGUUUUUUCAAUUAAAAUGCGAGUUUUUAAAAUUCUUAGAAUUGAAGCUUAAAUUUUAUGGAUUUACGAGUUUAUGAGACUAUUUUUAUAAGUUUGAUAGAUACUACUUUAGUGGAUUUAAUAGGAACUAAUUAGUAACUUAAGUAUUAUUCUCUUUAUUUUUUUAUUUUUUUGAAAUUAUUUUAUCUAUCAGAGGCUUAAGUCUCUAUUAUCAUGAGGUUCAUUGCCUCUGAAUCCAAUGCAACUCCAUCAUUAAUCGGGUUGAAAAAUAUUGAGCCAAUCAACCUAUUAUAACUUAAUCAGUCCAUUUAAAUUUAAUUGGGUCCAGUGGAUUGGAUUAAGCUUUCGCACCCUUGGGACUCAUGGUUCUUGCAUGUGGAAAAUUGAAACAUUUUAGAAUACUCAUAUUGUUAUUGUGCCAACCUCCGAUCAUCAUGAAUUUUUUUGUUUUCAGCAUUUCAUCUCCAACUUCGGGAAAAUAGCAAUGCACGAAGGACGUUGAGAAGAAUUGUUCAUCAAUAAUAAUAAUUUUUAGACACACUUUUUUAAUAAUUUCUUAAUGGUUUCAUUAUUCAAUUUUCUGUUUCUUUAAAAUUGUUUAUCAUUUGUGAAAAGAAAUUGUGGGCUUAUUUAGAUAAAUACUUGUGCAUUUUAUAAUUUCACAUGUUUAUACCAUUCCACUUCAUCUUCAGCCAAAUGUUAAGCCAUCAAGUGCCGAACCCACCACCAUUGAUUGUAACAAUUUAUUUUUUCCCAUUUUUAUGUAAGGAAUUUCUGACAAAUAGGAUAAACAAUAAAAAUAAAUUAUUUUUUUUCUUGAUUGAAUAUAGAGUUUAGGACUUUAGAACACAUAAGAUAAGGGUCACAUUACCUUUCAUAAAUUGACUAUCUUCAUAUUAUUAUUCAUAUUUUUAAAAACUUUAAUUUAUUUUAUAUUUUUAUUAAGAAGACUAAAAAAAAUUCAUUAACCCACUUCUAUUUUCUCCUUAUCUUUAAAAUAAAAUAAGAAUGACUGCAAGUUUUAAAAAUAAAAAAGAUAAUUGACAGAUAAUUAAUUUAUGAGAGGAUUUACCCCCAUAAAAUAUGAUCCCAUUAAAUUCCACAAAGGACUUUAAAAUUCCAGCGCUACCCGUCUUACCUUUGAUCGAUGAGAUGAGCGACAAGCAGGAGGGGCAAAAUCGUAAUAUGAAAAAUAAAGGAUCCCAGCAUAAUCUCUCCAUCUUGUAAGAAGCUUCAAACGAAAUCAUGUCCGAGUUUCACAUUUUAUAUGCCUUGCCUUGGUUCGAACUACCAUCAGAUGUAUCUUAAACCGUCCGAUGCAAAUCUAAGGGAAAAAAAAACAAGGGUUUGAUAACUUUUUUUUUUUCUCAUCAAAAUUCAAACUAAAUCCACAGAAUAUUAGAAUUUUGAAAAUUUUUUAUUUGAAUUAAACAUAAUCUCUGCGGAUAAUUUGGGGUUUUAAACAUGAGUUUAAUUAUGACUGUCUCAAAAAUCAAUGCAAAGAAAUUAGAGUUCCGUUCUCCCACGUCAGUGCAUACGUACGAAACACCGCACUCAAACUCAACGCGUGCCCAAAAUAUGGAAUUUAUUUAUUAAAAAAAUAAAUAAACAAUAUUAAAUUUAAAAUCCUUAAUUUAAAUUAAAAUAAAAUAAAUUAUCAUUCGUAUACCCUAUAGAUGUUCUGUUAUUAAAAAUACUAUAAUAUUUUGAGGAUGUAUCAAUCGUCCACCCUAAGUUGACAAAAUAUAUAUGUCGUCCACCAAAUCGUUACUUGCCGUUUAAAUAGGAUAACGCCAGAGGAAUAAUUUAGUAUUUUCAUAUGAUACAAGUGAUAAUUAAAGGGUAUAUAAAUAAUAAUAAAAGAAUUUAAGAGUAUCCAAGUGAUUUUUUUAAAGGGUAAAAUCGUCAAUUCGCUAUAAUUCCGUUAACUUUCAAGCGGCAGCUAAUGGUUUGGUAGUCGGUAGAUAAUUUUUGUUAAUUUAAGAUGGACGAUUGAUACACUCUUAAAGUAUUAUAAUAUUUUUAAUAACAAAAUAUUUAUAGGGUAUACUUAGGGAUGACAAUGAGCACCGCCCGCAGCAGGUUUGCCAUUACCAAACCCAAACCCGCACAAAAUUUAAAUUACCAAACCCACCCCCAGCGGGUUUUCAUUUUUUUAAAAAAAUCUACCCGCAACGGGUUUUAACAAUUACCAAACCCACAAUGGUACCCGACGAAUUUUUUGUGGGUUUCCGUAUUUAAAAUCACAAAUGUUUAAUAUAUAAAUUUAUAAUAAUAACCUCAAAUUCCAUAUAACAUACUCAAUUUUAUAUUUAAACAAUGUAAAUGAAAAAUUAAAAUUUCAACAUCAAUCCAACACAAAUUCUCAAAUUUAAGUAUAAAUUACACAAAUCCAUUUAAAAAAUACAAACUAGUAUCUAAAAAUAAUAAUUACAUUUCAUAUUAUUAUUUAAAACAAGCUCCGAGAGAAUAUAUUCAUUUCAUUCACCACCAUAAGCACCCAUCCAACACAAUGCCUAUAAUAAUAAUUAAGAUUAAUAUUUUCAAAUACUAAUUCGAAGGGAAAUGCCUUUAGUUUUCUUUAGGUUAUGACUUUAGAAUGGAAGAUGGCCACAUACACACAUACACAACUUUGAACCUUUGGCUAUUUGGUAGUUUGAAUAAUGACAUUAUUUUCUUUAUACAUUUUUAGAUUAAAAUUAAAUUAAAAAUAUUUAGAAAAAAUAUUAUGGGUUUGGUGGAUAUCCAUGCGGGUAUACACUGGAUAUAAAAUUAAUAUCAAACUCACCCGCAUCCAUGUGCGGAUUUUAGUUUAUAAUACUAAAUCUGUCCGCAAUGGAUAAAAUUACCCACAACGAACGGGUUUUGGCGGGUGAAUUUGGACGAAUUUAUGGGUUUACGGGUAUAAUUGACAUCCCUAGGUAUUCUAACGAUAAUAUCCAUUAAAAGAAAAGAAAAGCUUUUAGCUAAGCCAAGUCAUCUUCUUUUAUUAAAUAUUAUCCGUGACCUAACCAACCAGUUGCUUCGAAGAGUUUUGAUCAUUAAAGUUCUCUCGCUCUUUUCUGUUUUUUUUUCCUCUCGCUUCUCCGCUUCGACUCUUCACAAGGUCUUCCUCUCUUCGAAUCGAUUUCUCUUUUUUAAUUUAUCUUUAUUUUGCUCUUGUUUGAUUUCAUUGAAUAACUUGUAAUCUGUUUGUGUUAUCGAUUAGAUUGCUAUUUUAGGGUUUAUGUAAUGAUUAAGAUAGUUCAUUGACUCUUCUUAAUUUAUCAUUUUCUCCGCUUAGUUUUAAGUUCUAAGUUCUAAGUUUUGACUGCUGAUUGUAAAGCAAUUUUAGCUAAUUUUGUUUGAUGAGUUCAGGAGGAAUGGCAAAGAGUUACUUCAAGCAAGAGCAUGAUCUUGGUAAAUAUUUUCCUUUUUUUUUUUCAAAUUUUUUGGGAGUUUUUUGAAUUUUCUAGUAAGUUUCUGUUUAUUCGCAUGUUUUAUUUGUGGGGAAUUUGAUGAAAAAUGUUGAAUUUAUGAAGUUACGGUUGUUUGGUCUUUCAGAGAAGAGACGCGCAGAGGCUGCAAGGAUUAGGGAGAAGUACCCUGACAGGAUUCCGGUGAGAUUUAGCCUGGCUUUUUCUUUUCUGUUGUCAACUUGUCUGUAAAUUUUUGUCGUAAAAUUAUCACGCCUACGUCCAAUGAUCUGCUGUUGUGUUAUUAUUUGGUUUUAGAAUGAUAGUACUGCAUGGUUAAUUUCGAAACUUGUAUUUUUUGGAUAUGUGGCCUUGAGCAUGGUUGUUGCUAUUUGCUAGUUGCUACCUUUAUAUUUAUUCUUUCAAAUUUGAUUUACAAUGAUGAGUGUUUUGCAUGUGUGAUCAUGCUUUUGAGUUUUACUGAGAAUAGUUUUAGUUGCACAAGGUUACUUGACAAUGGCUUUUUAUUUUUAUUUGAUUCUGUUGUGUUACUUUCUGUGAGUGUUACAUAAGUUGAAUGACCAGCAUAAGAAUACUUUAUAUCUUUCUUAAUUUCUGAACUUACUUGUCUCUGAACUCUGUUCUUUUGCUUUAAGGUGAUUGUGGAGAAGGCAGAGAGAAGUGACAUACCAAAUAUAGAUAAGAAGAAGUAAGCUUUACACCAUAUUAUUUAUGACAUUGCAUUAUCUGGUUUCAUUGUAAAAAGGAAGAAAAAAAAUACAUGAUCUGUUCCUACAGUUUUGAGCCUCUUCAAUGACCUCUAUUUCAUGGCUUUGACAAUAUGAGAAAGAAAUUAGAGUGCUGAUUUAGGCUACUUGAACUUGUUUGUUUAUGUACUGGAUUAACACUUGAGCUGCAUUAUUUGAAACAAUUCUUGGUAGCAAUCUCAUCAACUUUACGUAGCACUCUCAUUCCUUUCUUUUCUAAGGUAUAUUGAUCUCAUUCCUCUGUGAUAAGGGGCAGCCAGCAGAGUAUGGCAACCUCUUACUCGUGCUACUUUGUUUGUAAUAUUACCAUAGUUUUCAUUGUUAUCUUAUAUUGUUCUUCCUGUUUCAUUUAGCUGAUCACAUGGCUCUGUCAUGUAGUCUGCAUACAUCCUAUGACAGCUUCUUGCAGCUAUUUUCUUUGUGGGUCUUGCUAGCUUACAGUUUCUGUAUAUUACAGCCCAUAAAGAAGGGGCGUUAACUGGCCCUCAUCCAGUUACCCCUUUUGGCCUGGCUGUACAUUACAGUAAAUGUAAGGUAGCCAUGUCUUUUUUCCAUUUUUUUCCUUUAUAUUUGAGAUUUAAACCUAAGACCUAAUCAAAAUUUAGUCAUUCAUUUGUUUACCUGAUAAUCAUCAUAUCUAUUGCUUCUUUUUCUUUGUCCCAUUUCUUUGAAAGAUCAUUGUAUUUGUAGAAUUGGCUGUCACUUCAGUGUUUAUAGUUGCUAUGAUUGCUGACAGAUGGUAAUUUAAAUGUCCAUAUGGACUAUAACAACUCGCUACUUGAUUCUAUCAUAUACUAAUAAGGUUUCCUCUUUACCUGAAUGUGAAAAUUACAGGUAUCUUGUUCCAGCUGACCUGACUGUAGGACAAUUUGUCUAUGUCAUCCGUAAAAGGAUCAAACUGAGUGCUGAAAAGGCGAUAUUUAUUUUUGUGGAUAAUGUGCUCCCACCUACAGGUAAAGUUGCUAAUCAUGUUGUACUUCAUACUCCUAGUUGUGCUUUUUUGUUGAUUGAAAAUGGUUCAUCCGGUCAUUCUUUUGUUCGGUUUUGCAGGUGCAAUUAUGUCUGCCAUAUACGAAGAGAAAAAGGAUGAAGAUGGUUUUCUUUAUGUGACUUACAGUGGGGAGAACACAUUUGGAAGCCACAUCCCAGUUUAGCCUUGUGAUUAUCUAUCUGCUCAUUGUGUGGUUUCUUGUGCGACCACAUUUUUAUCUCAAUUGUCAUCCUUGCUUUCCGCUGAAUAUUCCUUUAUCGGGCAUAUUUUAUAUUUUAUAAAGACAUUGCCAGUGAUAAUAUGUACAGUUACCUAUUGUAUAUAAGUCUUAAAGGCAUAAUAUGUCAAGUUUCUUUCUUGCCUUUCUAUUUUGAUGAUUUUUUUUCGGUUUGGGUAUUUGCUGCUGGUUUCAAUCUGUAAUCUUUAUCACGAAAUACUUGACUUGGAACCCGGAUUCGGCGUGUUUGUGGGCCAUUGCUAUUUUUAAGAUGUAAAUUUGACCAACUUAUUAGAAGUAAAUCAUGGGAUUAGACUUUGUAACAUUUCUCCCUAAUUCAUCGAUGAUAUUUUGUUAACUUGAUCUAGUUAUGUCGAAUGUAUUGACUGCAUAAUUGCCCAUCAUUCAGCUGUAAAACAAAUGCAUUCACUCGGGGCUUCUUUGUACUUAAUUUCAAAAGCAUAAUAUCAAAAAGUGGUAGCUAAGCAGGUUUAGGCCCUAUUUGGUACUGAGUAGCCACAGCUGCUAUUAAUUUGAAAAAAAAAAGAUUUAUUUUUCAUGAUAUAAUGGUGAGAUAAAAAUAAUUUUUAAAUCACGACACUAAGUAUUUAAAUGGUGUACUUAAAAACUAUAAUUCUCCAACCACAAUAUCAAACGAGGCUUAACAUCGUCGAUGAUAAUUAUUUUUUUAUUCUAAAACCAAAUGUUUAAGCUUUAAUAUCUUAGGCUCCGUUUAAUAUAACUUUUCAAGGAGAGUUUAUUUAAGUAGAGUUUUUAUAAAUAGAGUUUUUGCUAAAAAAAAAAUUAGUUGUUUGAUAGUAAAUAAGAGUUUUUAUUAAAAAUUUAUGAAAUUACUUUAAUAAGCAAGUUUUUAAAAUUAUGUUAUGAAAAGAAUAAAAUAAAAUUGUCAAAUAAAUAAAGGAUAUUUAGAUAUUUUAACAUUUGAAAAAAAAAUUAAUCUCUACUUUCAAAAACUCAAAAUUUGAGCUUUUACUAGUAGAGGUAAAAUAGUUUAUUUAAAUUUCAAAAACUAUAUUAAAAAAAAAAAACCAAACAAUAACAAAAAUUAUAAUAAGAACUUAUAAAAUUAAAUAAAUAUUUAUAACCAUUAAAUAAAUUAUACCAAAACAGACACUAAAUCCUAAUCAACUAUGCUAAUUGUAAGGGGGUACAUAAAAUUUAGGAUCAGACAUCAAGUUUAUGUAUAAAUAAGAGAAUUAUUUUAGAACUAUGUGUCGCAUAAAGAGAAAAAAAAAAGAAUAUUCCUUUGACACACAGGUUUAUUCUUUUUAUAAAUGUAUUGAAAAGUCCAUUCUUAACUGUGGAUUUUUAUGUCCAUCCAGUAUAAUAAUUUUUUUUCAAAUGAUAUCUUUAUGUUGCUCCAAGUAUUUUAUCCAAAUAAUUUAUUUUGAAAUUUUUAUCCUUAUAAUUGUGUUCGUGUUCUUCAUUUAUUGGUUUAAUAUAUUUUCUUUCGAAAAACAUUAGCGAAAUGAGGAAAGAUUUUACUAAAAUAAAGAUAAAAAAUAACAUCAAUUAAAGAUAGGACAUAAUGAACCUUACUUCUUAAAGAAACGUGCAUCUUCCAAUUCCUUGAUAAACCUUUUAUUAUUUCUUUUUUUAUCUUCAUCUUUCUUACUAAAAAAAGUGCCGCAUUGACUGACCAUCAACAAAUUAAAAAUGAAACUUUAGAAAAUUCAGGCGACGUGGUGUAUCGAAUAUUGAAUAUAGGGAUUUGAAAAUGUGUGCAUCACCUCAAUUAUGGGGCGAUUUUAUUCUGUCAAUUGAAAGUGAGAGUCCUACUUAUUGUUGGAAAUUAAAAUUUUGAAAAUGUUUCUUAUUCUUUGCCAAAAUUUUGCAAAUUAAAAUUGACAAUUUUUAGGGAAGGACGAAGCAAAAGCUUUCGCUAUGUAGUGAUAUAAUAAUGCUGGCUGGGGUUAGGGGAGGACAGGACAGUGCGCCACCGCGAAGUGAUAAUUAUUUUCGAUUAAAACUAUCAAACAACUAACAAUGAAAUGGAGAGGAGAGAGACCCUCGCACGUGGCUCUUGACAUUAUUGAUAGAAUUGUACAAAAUAAGACAUGAACAACAUGCCACGUGGCAUCAAUGUUGGUGGGGUAAAUAUGUCGACCCAUCUUUGUUACUAAGCGGAGGGUGCAAACUGACGGUAUGGCCAUGCAACUGUGUCUCCCUCAUCUUCUGUCCCCCGGCCUCCCACUCUAUCGUUGGACCCAUUUGUUCUUACCUUGCAUUUAUUCUCCUCCCCUAUAUUUGAUACAUCCGAGUUCGAGUAGAUUUUAAAGUGCGGAAAAUAAAAAUUUGAGAAAGUUUUAAAAUUAUGCAUUUAAAAGGUUUAAAAAAAUUAUAAAGUGUAUAAAGUACAUAUGAUUUAUAUAUUUUUUCAGACUUUCUUAUAUUUUAAAAUUUUGAGUUAGAAUAUUUUUAUUCUCGUGAUUAUUAUUUUUACAUAUUGAGCAAUAUGAAUAAUUAAGCUUUAUUAAGGAAUGAUAUAUUUAACCUCUUGACCAAAAGUUUAAACUAUUAAUUAAAUAAGAAUAUAACAAUAGCAUUAAUGAUAAGUUUUGACAAACUACUACAUCUGAAAUGUGAAUCCAAGGAAGAUUAAUUAGCUAAAUUAGGAUAGGUAGAGUCAUGAGAAACCAAGGGUCAUAUACAAUAUCUUGAUUUGAAAUGUACCAAACCAAACCUAAAUAUAAUAUUGUAUACGGAAUUUCUUCGUGGUUAUUGACCCAAAAUAAAUUAUUUAAUUUUUUUUUCACGGUCAUGUAGAUAAUUUUUUUCACGGUACCAUUAAAUUAGUGUCCAUCUACGUACGUUCUGAUACAAAUGCUUUUAAACAGAAGAAAUUGAAACUGAAAGUGCAUCACCUGUAAGAGCUGGAGUGAGCUAGAUAUAGCUUCUACAGAAUAGGAAAAGCCGUUGCCGUUUUAUAUAUAUCGUAUCGAUCUAAGCAAAAAAGGGUUGACGUAUGUAAAUAUGCUUCUGUUUAGCGUCCCUAUCCAUUAUGAUCUGAUGAGGGAAUUAAAUGUAGUUUGAUUUAUUUUACAUUCAAGCACCUGAAGCUAAGUUCUUAGAAAGCUGAACUAUCAAUUCCUAUGAGAAUUAAUGUGAACAAGAUGUACGCUACUCGAACCAACAUUUGCAUGUAUAUUUUUCUUCUUCGCCAUUUUGAUAAGGAAUUUCAAUCUCCAUGACGCCAUGUCUAUUGUCUAACAUUCGAUUUUGUAAAAGUAUAAAAAGUAAAAUUGUGGCACAAGGACAAGGAAUGGAUGUCCUUAGUCGGAACACAUGGGUAGGACCUCGAUCAUUUACUUUAGUUUUCAUUUUAUUACGUGGCCAUUUUGAUCAAAUUCAUGAACAUAUAUUGAUUACUAGCUAAGCCGUAUUGCUUUUGUAGUAAGUGUCUUGACUAGAAAAUAUGAACAAACAAGCAAUGCUAUUUGUCUCCAAUUCAGAGAGUCACGGUUCCAUGCAUAUGUUACAAAAUUGAACCAAGCUCUUUCUAUAACGUGUCUUCUGAUUUCUAAUAUUUGGGACCCUCAAAUUGAUUCAAAAGCAAGACGGAGGGAGCAAAGGAGGCCCCCACAAUAUAUUCAAUUUGGUUCAUCACCCAAACAACUGCAUGUUCUAUUACAGGACCUAUUUCUUCUUAUACAGAAACCUGCAUUUAAUGCUUCCUCUCUGCUUCUCUUGGUACAAAUACUUGAAACCUAACAAGGAAUUAACCUAUCAUACAAUAAGAGUCUCUUAUAGCUAUCCUAGCUGGGAGAGUUUAAACUUACUGAUCUAUCUAUCUCAUCGUCAUGUCUUCCAUUACUCUUUUGCUUCUCUUAUGUCUUUCCGUGCAUGCAUGCAGUGAAAGAAAAAUCUCUUUGCAGAAUCAGGUUGGUGAAAACACCAUGAAGCAAGAGGAACCAAAGGCUUUCCUAAAGGAAGAAGCUUCCCCAACUUCAGGUUUUGUUCAAAUUGGCUAGCAUUAUUAUAUCUUUUAGGUUUCCUUCUGCAUGUGUUGUGUCUGGAUGACGGUCUCAACUUGCAUUUCGAUAUUGACCAUAAAGCGUAGCAAAAUAAUCACUAUUUAUCCUCAUCAAGAUCGUAUAAUUUGUAAACAUAAAUAGAUAACCUCAUCCUAAUUAAUAAUGGUUCACAAGACCUAUUAAUUCUAAUACGAGAUGUCCAUAUCACAUAUCAAAAAAGACACUGCCUUGCAAUGUUGUCUUAAUUACACCUCACAUGGGGAAACAUUGUAAUGUUAAGUGAAAAAAUAGAUGCAUGUUGACAUUAUUUUAUCCGGCAAUUUCUUGAACUAGCCUUAUUGAUAUAAUGUAAUAAAUUUUGAUGUUUGUAUUUUAUAUAUGUGCAGGUGAUAUUGUGAUGCCUUCUCUUCAAAAUGAUUUGCAACGCUUGGCUAAAACAGAGGUAAAAAAAAUUAACUUUGAUACCUUCUAUAUCUCUUAGUCUGAGAAGAUGGUGUAUGGCACAUCAUAUAUGCAUCCAUGAUCUAUGCAUAAGCUAGCAUCAUGAGUUUGAACAAGCAAGAGAGAGAGAGAGAGAAUGCUGCCGUAUUGAAUAAUUUCAUUGAGAUGCACGUUAUUAAUUGUAACAGUUGAUAUUCAUAAGAUGUUCUUCUUGGCUAAUUGUGUAGAUAUUCGAAAGCAGCAAAGCACAAGCACGGUUCUUGUUAGGAUCUCCACCAGGUAAUACCAACGAGGCAGUAGAUUCCAAAGAAAAUGACUUUGUGGAGGACGCGGUCGUAAUGGAUUACGCCCAGCCUCAUCGGAAACCUCCCAUCCACAAUGAGAAACCCUAAUUAUUAGUACAUGCACUAAUUAUGUAUCAUCCCUUUUGCUCAAGAUUUUCUUGUCACAGGAGCUCAUAUAUCUAGAGAGUGUUUAUUGUGUCAUAUGUGAACAAUUUGAAGGGCAUUUUGUCUUUAUGUAUCUUGCCAAACAUUUACCAUCAGCCUACAAAAAAUAAAUGUGGCAAUAAGUUGUUUUUGUGAUUAGUUGGGACAACAAUAAUUCUAAUUUUUACAAGGUGGUUUUGCCUACUGUCUAGACGGCAAAGAUGCCCUUUUCCGUAAGCAAGUGCAGAAAUCCCUUCGUCAAAUAUCAACUGUCCAUGUGAAAUCAGUCUUUUAAUAAUUGCAAAAGAAGACAACUUGUCAGAAUACGAUGAGUGAAUGUGUGAUGGCCCGUAAACACGGUCUGCAUUCAUGUUUCUAUAUUUAAUGCGAGAGUGAAUAUGGGAGACACAAUUGACAAGGAUGUGUUCCAGGGUGCUUUCAUUCAGUUGAUUUUUCAACUGAUGAUAUUCCUAUGAACAUAAAGAACUCGUUCGGGAAGGACUAUUACUUCUGCAGCUGUAAUAAACGGCGUUAGGUUCAGCACUAAGGCACUAAACCUACAUCUUUUGCAUGGUCAACACAAAUAUCGAGAUUCUUAUCACUCCAAUUGGUUGCAAAGAAUAUGAAUCUUACCCAGAUUAGUGCUUACUCACCCAAAAUACAGGAGUUAUUUAGGAUAGAAGCAGUAAAAAAAAAAAAAAAAAAAAAAAAAGCCAGCAGGUAGGUAGUCCGAACUAAAUAACAAUAAAGGGUAAAAAUCAUUUGUAAGGUGCUAAGUGAAAAUUUUAUAUGAUCUACUCUGUUGGUAUUUAGAACCUUCUGUUCUGGAGACUGGAGUAGAAGACCAUGACCAUUAAAAUGGCAUUUCAUCAGAUUGCCGGUGGCUGAUUGUUCAAUUACAUCUUCUAGGUUUGAUAGUUCAUCAUUGAGGUAUCUAACUGCAACCGACAAUGAAAGGUUUAACAAAUUUGAUAAAUUCAGAGGUCUUUAUUCCCCACUUGAGAUCAGUCUCUCCGCCACCCAACCAGAAGAAAUCAGGACUGAGUUUGGUUAUUGCUUCAUCCAAGAUCACCUGAAAUCAGUCUAUACCUCAUCAACAAACAAUCACAGAAUAGUUAAAUAAUCUUCUCUUACAUUCUCGUAAACCCAAACAUUUGGUCUAACAGAAUAAAUGAUACAUUAAGUAUUAGGUUACUUGAACAUGCAUAUGUGCUUCCAGUCUAACAGACUAUGUUGCACGAACUUAAUCAAGCUUUCUGAUUGACAGAUAAAAUUUAAAAUACGGUCACUAAAAAAUCAGUGAAACAGUAAAUCUAGCUGUAUGGUUUUCCUGUUUGUAGUUUGUGUAACCAAGGCGAGAAACAUUUUCUCCAAAUAAUCCACUUUUCAAGUAUUCUCUGCUGUUGUUUCUGCAUUAGAGAAUAAGAGAUGCCCCCAGUGACAAAUGGGCAUUCGAACACACACAGAGACAAAGCCUUAGAUGGCUCAAUUUCAAGUCACGUUAGAACAUUUUUCUAUUUUCUACUUUUCUACUUUUCUAGUGCUAGUGUGUUUCAACCAUUAAACAAUUUUUGCAAAAUAGCAGACUGGCAAGUUAUCAUUCACAUUGACCAUGAAUACAGUGGACCAUCCUAAAACUGCAUAUAUAAGAAUCCUAACCCUCAAUUUUCAGGGCCAUAAUUUUGACAGGCAUGGCAUUUGGAUGAGUGGACCGGUCCAACAGCUGGCAGAAAGAUUGGAAGGUCUUAAAUCACAAAACAUAGUUCCAUGAUUUUGAUGCACAUGUCAAAUAUAAGGUGCACCCUUUCUUCUCCAGAAUACAUCAGAAAAUGUGUAUAAAAAGCGGCCACACUGCCAUAAGCACAACACCUUAGCUUUUGGGCUAGGAAAAGACUCUCAGAAGAGACAACUGGAAUUGUCUCUGGGGCCUCAGUGUUCAUGCUUCCUCAUACAUCCAGACAGGACAGUGAAGUGGUAUUUAAGAGAAAGAUUUGUGAAUUGAAUGAAUACUGAAAACUCCACACUCAAGCUUAAUAAGAAGAAGCCAGUAAAAAGGGUUGGGAGCUUAGAAUAACAAGUAAAAAGUAGGGUAAACUUCAAUUCAUCCCCCAAAUAGAAAAACAAUUUUCAAUUUACCUCCCAAAAGUGUGGAAACCUCAAUUUACCUCCAUUUUCGUUCAGAAGAUGAGAGCAAAUGUGAAGCACCGGUGAUGCAUUUAUUUUUUGUCUUAACAGGAAAUAGGAGUAAAUUGAUGUUUUCUUACUUUUGGGGGUAAAUUGAAGAUUGUAAUUUUCUAAGUAGGAGGUAAAUUGAAGUUCUCUGAAAAAUAAUAAUAAUAAAGGAAGCUCUUUAUUCCAUCCUAUGUUUAUGGUAUUAAAAUUUACAAUACUAAUUAAUCUUACUUUUAAUAAUCAUGAAGAGAUUGUAGUAGCAGAGAUGGAACUAGAGAAAUGAUACACAAUCAAUGAAAUUUAACCAAAGCUAAAAUACAAGCAACAAGACAUUCUAAUUAGAACAUCAUGGCAGAAAAAAGUUCAAUUAUAAUACUAUAAAUAAUUUGAAUAAUCCAAUUCCUAUAAACCACUGAACACUUCCAAAAUAAUUGCAGACAAAGAUUGAUUACCGGAAUGUCUGUUUUCAUGCCAAUACAUGUAACUGCAUUGUGCUCAUAUCCAGUCAAAUUCAUUGAUGUCUCCUCAGGAGCAAGCCUCACUGCAUAAUUAAUAAAAUUCACUACAGUUAGUCUGUUAUAUUUCUCAACUUAAACAAGUCAAUGGUUAAAUGACUAUUGAAAACCUCAAAGUUUCAUUGAAACAUACCCUCAUUCAAAAAAAGUUCAACCAUAUACCAGAAAUAAUGUAGCAAUUGUCUUGUCAUAUAAAUUUCAAGCAUAGUACAUAUCACCAUGAUAAUGAAGAUGAUAUGAACUAAUGAUUGUCUCAAUACCUAUUUUUUCAGACAGAACUUUUCUAUAGGAAUGGGUAAGCAAGAACAUCUAUGGGAGUUAGGCAUGCAAAACAUUAUGGUCAUUUCUAUAUGGGCACAUAUCCUGUGAAAAUCAUGCACAGAAGUUCUAAAACUCUAUUACCAUUAUGACAGUCUACAAACUAGUUAAGAGUAUAAACACGAAAGUCUCGACAAAAUCUAUGAAAAGGCCAAAACUCUCCUUCUCAGGCUACUGCCAUUUCCUCCCAGUUGCUAAGAAUUAAAAGAAGACUCAUUAGACUGAGAGAAAUGGAAUGGAAGCCCAAUGAGAAGCCCAAAUCCUCACUUUGUCCCAAAUAUACAAAAAUAUCCUCCCCUGUGUUGCCCUCAAAUAUGCUUUUGUUUCUCUCCAACCACACAACCCAAAAAGUACCACAACCAAACUAGCCCAUAAUACUGCAAACUUCCCCCUUCCUUUAAAUUCAAAAGGAAACUCCAAAAGCAAGAACCAACAAAAAAUUAGCACAAAUAAGUACACCAAAUAUAUAUAUGAGUUAAUUAUUUUCAAAAAAUUAUAUCAAAGACAGUAGAAUGCAGUACCAUAUUCUCCCCAUUUCCCCUGCCACCCCAAACCACACAUAGAGAAGCAAAACACAUAGAUAUAUAUAUAUAUAUAUAUAUAUAUAUAUUCUGAAGAUCAUCAUGCUUUAAUACAGCCAGACAGCAGAGCUCAAUAAAAAUUUGAUUCAAAAUCACUGGUUCUUUUUGGAUGAUGCACUUGUCAUUUAAAUAUUUUGAAAGUAGCUGUAAAGAUAUAUCUCAUUCUGUUGUUUCAAUCAUGGAACAUUAAAAAUAACAAUGGAAGAAAUACCUAAAUAAUAACAAACACUUAUCGGUCAUUCAGUGAAUAACUUCUUACAAUUAAAUUUCUUUUUCGGUAUCUUGCCAUUGUUGAGAGUGUACAAAAAGUUUUUCACAGCUUCAGCAUUAAACCGGGCAGUAUACUGCAAAAUGAAAAUGUAGGAUGAGCCACGAACAACAUCAAAUUAUAAAAUUUUGAUGAGUGGAAACAAGCAAGGUACCUGAACAACAACAACGUAAUACUUCGAAUUGUUUCGAUCACUACAAUCAACUACAUUGGACUGAGCUUGUGUAUUAACCUGAGCUGACAGAAGGAAUACAAUUAAACGCCCUGAUAUAAACCCCUAAUUUACAAUUAAACAUCAAAAUUACUAAAACAAAUUUCUAUAUAAAAUCUGUGGCUGUGAAAAUUUAAGUAGAAAUUUCGUGAUAUUAUUAAUUUAUUAUAUUAUACGGCGUGAAGAAAUGACGUACCAAGACGAUGCUUUUGCAAAGAUGAUGAAUGGAAGCGGCAGCGAGGACGUCUCUGCGCGACUCGAGAGGCCAAUCGUAGUAAUCUGAGGGGACUUUUUUGAAUUGAAAGUCGUUGACACCGUUGGAUCGAAGAAUGUUUGAGAGGCGAGCUUCGGUGUCGCGGAUUGUUGAAUGCGGAGUGGAAGCAGGGACUGCUGCGGAGCUGGAAACGUCGUCGUCGUCGACGGAAAGGAUAGUUUGCUCGAGUUUCGAUAUUCGCUGAAGAAUUUCAGUUUGGACUCGCUCCAGCUCCGCCAAUGCUGCCUCCAUGGUCUGUGUGAGAUGCGCGUGUGUGAAUUGUGAUUAAUGGAUCACUUCGUGUUCGUUGCAUGUCAGGUUGUCUGGCCCGUUGGUUUUGUUGGUUGCGUACUUCGUUGAACCAACCGCAUUUGGGCUUCCUCAAGCCCACAAUUGCGGGAUCCAUGAUCAGGCCAGGGUACAGGAAGCGGCUGGGAAUUUUUAUUUUUAUUUUUUUAACGAUUGGCACUCUUAUAAAAUCCUCUAACAAUUAUUUUUUAAUUAUUUGAUACUAAAAAUACCUUUUUUUUAAAAAAAAAUCCCUCUUCCAAACUUUCUCUCUCUACAUAACUCAAAAACACUAACUUUCAAAAAAUAUAUAUAUAUAUAAAUAAUAAAAAUAUUAAUGUCUUGAGUUUGUACUUAUCAAUUAUAUAGAUGAGACUAAAAUAAAUAUACAAGAGAGAAAGACUUUGGAUCAAAAGGGAAGCAGAACUGAGUUUUAUUAGUUUAUUUUUGAGCUACAGUAAAUAAUUUAAAUUGGGUGUAGAUUUUAAGUUCGUUAAUCAUAUAAAAAUUUAGUCAUUAGAGCAAGACAUUUCUAGUAUUACAAGAUGUUAUUUUUGAGUUUUGGUUAUACAUGCAAAUUUUAUUUAAAUGUAUAGAUUAAAGAGAAAAAAAUAAAUGGAAUUCAUUUUAUUUAUAUUUAUACUUAUACUUAUAUAUAUAUAUAUAUUUUUGAAUGACUUAUACUUAUAUAUUUAAAUGUAAUUGCAAUGAGAAAAUUUCGAAAGGGUGCCAAUAGUCCACUUUUCUUUUCUUUUUUUUUUCUUUUUCCUUCACCUUCUAAAGAGGCCGGGUAAAAGUAUUGAUGUGCUAGAAGGUCUUCACUUUUCGCGUUUGAAUUUUGGAUUUGCAAUGUCUUGAUGUUCACGCCGUAGUUGUGGAAAGAAUUUGAGUUCAAAACAAGGGGCUCUGUUGAGACACGCACGCUAGUUUUAUUUCUUUUUCGAAGCUACCAUCAUGGUCCAGGAGUCACCAGUGACCAGUGUAUUAAUUGAUAUGACCGAAAGAAACAGAAAAAGAAAAGUAAAAACAUGGACUACAUGAAAAUUCAAUUAAUAUAUAACCGUUCAGAAAGGAAAAAAAAAAAUCUGUGGCAUGUUUUCGAACUGAUUUCAGUUGACUUCUUCUAGAUUAUAUACUACGACUACAUGUACUUACGUUUACAACAAACUUUAUAUUACAAUACCUAUAGGUUUAUACCUAAUUAAUAGCGCCUAUUUUAAACACUAAUUUUAGCCAUUUAUUUUGUACAAUUUCACCGUGCAAACGUUUGGAUGAUUUUAAAAUAUACGGAUGCCAGCACUUAAGCACGAUUAUAUAUAUAUAUAUAUAUAUAUAUAUAUAUAUCAAAUAAUUUGAGAUAAAUGUAUUUUAAUUAUAUUUUUAUUUUUACUAUAAUAAUAAAAUAUAAAAAUAAAUUAUUUUAUUUAAUAAUACUAUAUUUUAUUAGUAAAAUAUUAAAUUUAUGUAUUAAUAUUCAUAUAAAAAUUACUUAAUAAUUAAUUUAAUACAUUAAUAAAAAAAAUAUUAUCUUUAUAUUAAUAUAAAAUUAAUACAGUACAUCAUAAUAUCAAAUACUAUACAAUAUUGUUAUAAUAAUAUAAUAUAAUAUAAUACAAUACGUUUAUAUUAAAUUAUAUGAUACAGUGUCUCAGACACCACAUCAUGUUUAGUGAAUAAGUAAAUUGUCUCUUUCACUUAGCCCCUCUUACUUAAUUUAAAUGACUGUUUCUUUCAUACUUCCUAUAAUACCUACACUAUAAUAAAAUCCAAAGUUUCAAUUUUCAAGUUACGAAAAGGAAUUACUAGAAGAGAAAUAACUGGAAAAUACUUAAAUAAGUAGACACUUUUAUUUGUGUUUCAGUAGCUAAACAGGAGGUGCAGCCCGCGGAUUGAAAUGGAUUGGGGUAUCAAGCAAGCAAUGUGGACAUGUGAUGCGACGAGUGGGCAUCAAGGAAUCCACGUGAUUGAAAAACGUGCUGACAUUUUAUGAUGGAGGAAAAACGGUUAUGCAUGAUCUUGUGUAUUCUCUUGAUUUAGGCUAAUCCAAUUUUUAUUUUUUUUUAUUUUGUGUUAUUUUCUUGAGGCCUUCAAAAUUUUCUCACCUACUAAGGACUUCGAAAAAAGUUGGUGCAAUAAAACAUAUUUUUUCCCAAUUCACUUUUCUAAGUAGAGUUAGGUAAAUUUCCAUUCGGUUCAAUUUUAUGUGGCCCUAUUUAGGUAUAGAUUUUAUUGGCAGAGUUUUGAUAAGUAUAAUUUUUUUAUAAAAGAAAAAAAUUAAUUAUUUUUUGUAGAUGAGAAUUUUUUAUUAAAAAUUAUAAAAUUACUUUAAUAGAUAAAAAUUUUUAAAGUUAUGUUAUGAAAGAAAUGAAAUAAGGUUAUCAAAUAAAUUAAGGAUAUUUUAGAUAUGUUACUUAACAAAAUUUUUAACCUCUACUUCUAAAAAUCUAAAAUUUAAACUUGUACUAAUAGAGGCAAAAUAGCAUAUUUAAUCUUCAAAAACUCUACUAAAUGGAACAAACAAUAACAAAAAAUUUGAAAAAAACUUUAGAAUUAAAUAAACACUUAUGGCCGUUAUAUAAACCAUAUCAAAUAAGCACCAAAUUGGUUUUAAUAUUUUAUAAUCCUUCUUAAACUCACUUUGUUAUGAACCAAAUCAAACCAAUUUAAUCUAGUACGGUUUGGAUUGGUUCGGUUAAAAUAAAAUACCAAAUUUUCUCUCUUAGCUACUUUCUCAACUGAAAAGGCAAAUACUUGUUUAAUCUCUAUAUUUUAACUUAAAUACUCAUUUAGUCCUUAUAUUUUAAAAAAUACAUCUAAAUGCCCUUGUAGUUAAAUAUGUUAUAAUAUUUUAAAAAAUACCUCUAAAUGCCCUUGUAGUUAAAUAUAUUAUAUUUUUUACUUUUAUAUUUUUUACCCUUACAAUAAUAUUCUUACUAUUAAUUAAUUUAUCUGUAAAAAUUUAAUUAGCAAAUGAACAAAUAAUUAUUCAUUAGCAAAUUAACCAAUAAAUAUCAAUAUAAAAGAACUAGCUUUUUUUUUUCAAUACCAAUGCAAUAAUCUUGCUAUUAAUUUAUUUAUAAAUAAAUUAACAUCGCUCAACUUAUAGGAAUGUUUAAUAUCCUUAUAAUAAUUUUACUAAUAGUUAUUUAUAAAAAAAUUAAUUAAUCAAAUUAAUCCUAAAGUAAAAUAAUAACAUAAAAAUUUGUGAAAAUUUUUAUGUUCCUUUAAGGCUAAUUUGAUAAAUGAAUAUUUUUUCUUUUCAUUACUAUCCUCAGUAAGGUAAGAAUAUUGUCGCAAUGGUGUUAUUGUAAAAGAUUAUAAAAAAAAAGAGAGUAAGGAGUAUAACAUAUUCAAUGAUAAGAGUGUCUUGAGAUAUAUUUUAAAAUAUAAGGACUUACGGAUACUUUAGUCAAAAUAUAGUGACUAAACGGAUAUGUACCCUAAUUGAAAUUUAAAAUAUCAAAUCAAAUAUUUUCAAUAAUUACCAAAAAAAAAAUAAAAUAGAAAUCAUCAAUUAAAUUCUUGACACAAAAUACACAAAAUAACAUCCUCUAAUAAUCCUGAUCAAUCUUAAUCAAAGCUUCCAAUAUCGGACUUUACAAAUCUAAUUCUUUCUAGAUCCUUAAGUAAAAAAGAACCAAAAAAAAAAACUGAAGCAUAAACAAAGAACCCAGCAUGUGGGCACAAAUUAGUAGCAAAAGCAGAAAUUUUGAAAAAUGCAGCAGCAUUGUUACCAAAAUAAAAAAUACUGAAAAAUAAAAGCAAAGGUAAAAGAACAUAAAUGAAUGUGGGAGUGGGGAAAGCUCAGAUUCAAAUCACAUAUUUACCGGCUUCGGAUAAUGAUUACUGUUUUAAGUUAAAUCCAACUAACUUAAUAAUCCAAUACAUAAAUAAACUAAUUGUAUUUUCUCCGAUUUGCUACGGUUCCGUGUCUAUUAUUUUCUUAGCAACCAAACAUUUUUCAUACUGGUAAAGAGUAGAGAUCAAGAUUCUCUCCUGAUCUGAUUAUGUUUUGAGCAAAUAAUUUAAUUAUUGAUUGAUAGUUAAUAAAUAAAAAAGUAAAAUAAAUUAAAUUUUAUCCAUACACUAUCAAUAAAAAAUACAUGACAAAAAAUCUUUAAAAACUCAUUAGAGUUCAAGAGAGAACCCUGUUAAGAGUAGAAGGAUAGAAUUCUUUCUUCAAAACCGGCUUGUAAAGGGAGGGUGCCGAGAGCAUUAUAUUCCCAUUUAAAUAUUGGAUCCUAACAUUCCACCACAUUUCACAACCAACAUCCACAGCAGUCCAUCAGAACCAGUUGGGCGACUUCACGGAUCCCAAACAAAACCUUAAUUGGGACUCGAUUCCAAUUGACAUCGAAUUGUCCAAUCCACUUGGUUAUUACACACAAAAUUGAGAACUAACUCGAAUUUGAAUUAAAAAAAAAAUUGAAACUAUUCGGUUUGGGUUGAGUCAUUGAUUUUUUUACCUACUCCUAUUUCUAAGAUUCUAAAUAUUUUAAACCUAUAAUUAUUUAAUAUCUGUCUUUAUUGAAAGUUUGUUGCAAGAUGAUUUGAUUUUUUUUAAUGUCAUAGUACAAUAUAAAUACCCGAAAGCCUGGCAAGUCUAAAUUCAUGCUUGUCGAGACCUAUUUUCAUAUAUUAAAGUUGAACCCAAUAAAAAAAUUUGAAACUAGAAAAAGAAUAAUAAAUAAAUAUAUUCUCACACACAAAAAAAUAUCCUCUACUUUAAAAUUUUUAAGGCGAGCAUAGCAAGUACUCAUAAACUCAGUGAAAAAUUUAGCUGGAUUUAAAUAUUUAAAAAAGUAAUGACAUGUACUAGAAAAUAUAAAUUUUAAUACAUUGGAAACUAUAUGUCAAUAUAUGUGUGUAUAUUUGUCAGCGGCAUUCUUACAUUAUUAAAAUGAGGAUGUUUUCAUUAGAAAAUUAUUAUUAUUUUUACAAGCGCGUGCGGGCACACACACACAUAUACGGAAAAAUGAUACCUCCACUCCAAGGUAUGAAAAACUAGUUAAAAAAUCAUGAAAUUUUUCUUUGACUCUAUAAACCCAAAAAAAUUGAUCCCAAAAUUUUAUAUUAAAUGAAAUAUGACACGAAAAUAAAUGUAAUAAUAUAUACAUUUUAAAAUAAUUUUAAUAUUUAAAAAAUAUUUUAAUAUUUUACAAUUUAUUAGACUUAUUUUAUUAUGUUAAAGUUAAUUUUAAAAAAUAAUAGAAACAUAAUAUUUUAAUAAAGUAAAUUAAAAUUAUUUUCAAUAUUAUGUAAAAAAUAAUUUUAAAAAUUGUCAACAGGAGAUAUCUUGUUAAUUUUAAAAUCUAUUUAAUCCAUAGAUUUAUUUUAAAUCUUUAUAAUAAAUAUAAAUAAAUUUUUAAAAUACAUAUAAUAACUUAAAAUUUUAACAUUAUUUUAAAUGUUAAAAAUAAUUUAAUAUUUAUUAGUCUACUAGAUAGAUCAUAUUAUUUAUAUUAAAAUUAUAUUAAUAAAAAAAUUUAAAAUUAAUCUUCUAAUUAAUAUAUUCAAAAUGUAUUAUCGUUCAAGUCCCGCUCUCGUAUGGAGUCACCAUUUUGGCCAGCACUUUACCCUUUAUGGGCCGACCUGGUGUGAACGAGGAUUAAUUUAAGUUGUGGUACGGGCUUAAAGGUGUCUCCCACAAUUGAGGUCCACUCAGAACCAUCUCGUGGUUCAAACCAAAAGGAAUUAUCGUUAAAAAAAAUCUUAGUAUCCUUUUUAAAAAAUUUAGAAACUUUGUAAUUACUUUUUUAAAUUGUAGAAGUGUAGGUCUUGUUUUUUAAAUAUCUAAGAAAUCUUUGAAUAAUCUCUCAAACUUACAUUAAAAAUUAUUUCCGUAGAAAAUGAAAUUUAAGGAAAGUCGCGGUCAUUUAUUCGAGAAAAUUUGACCGUUGAAAACAGAAGAAAAUGAACGUCCUUCCUUUGCCUCUACACCACUCUUGCUUUCCCUUCCUCCUCCAUUAUAAAUAAAGAAACAGAAUCAAAGGAAAAGAAAGAAACCAUCCGAUCAAAAUCAAAUCAAUAAUCAUGCACAAAACUCCUUCAGGAUCCUCACUAGGCCCCGGCGGCCUUGACUUGACUCAAACCUUCUUCAAGCCCAUUAACCAUGCGGCCCCACCUUCCCCCACCAAGCGCCACACCAAGAUCUCUGUCAUUGGCACUGGCAAUGUCGGCAUGGCCAUUGCCCAAACCAUACUCACCCAGGACUUCGUCGAAGAGCUCGCUCUCGUCGACGCCAAGGCCGACAAGCUACGUGGCGAGAUGCUCGAUCUCCAACACGCUGCCGCUUUCCUCCCACGCACCAAAAUCCUCGCCUCUGUUGAUUACGCUGUCACAGCGGGAUCCGAUCUUUGUAUCGUCACCGCUGGCGCCAGGCAGAUUGCUGGCGAGUCUAGGCUGAAUCUCUUGCAGAGGAAUUUGUCCCUGUUUAAGGCUAUUAUUCCUCCGCUUGUCAAGUACUCGCCUGACUGUAUUUUGCUGAUCGUAGCUAACCCAGUUGACAUUUUGACUUAUGUUGCGUGGAAGCUGUCUGGGCUUCCUUCGAAUAGGGUCAUUGGGUCGGGCACGAAUCUCGACUCGUCCAGGUUUAGGUUCUUGCUCGCUGAUCAUCUCGACGUCAACGCUCAGGACGUGCAGGUUUUUAAUUUACUUAAUUCCUUCCCUUAAAUAAAUGCCUUUUUAAUUUAAAAUCUUUUCUUUCUUUUUUAAGUCUAGACUGUUGCGGUGGAUCAUUUUCAAUUUCAUGGGAUAAAUUUGUCAUUUAAGUUGAGUGGAUUCUGACUUCUGAAAUAUGUUAUCAUUUUCAAUCUCUGUUGCGUGGAUAACAAGGACUGGCCUAAGUCAAAGUGAAUUUCAAGUUUCAACCAGGUUGAACACUGAUAGAUACCCACGCGAGCCCCGAGUUAAAACCCCACCCCCCAUUAUCUAAGUUCUAAAUUUAUUAACCAGAACAAAUUUUAACGCAAAAAAUGGCUGUCGUUUUGGCUGUUUUUUACGGUUUGCGAGGGGUUAUGACCCAGGUUUAAUGCUUGCAAUAUGAUUAAUCCUUCUGAAGAACGGUAAAGAUAUUUGCCUAGGAUUGAUCUGUUAGGCAAUUAGGCUCACAUUAUGGUGCGAAAUAUGACCAUAUGGUGUUAUUCUAUUGAUAAAUUAACAUAGUUAUAUGUGCAAUGUAAUUGUGCCAUUCUUAACUAAUUAUCCUUCUGCAUAACAAUUUUGCAUGUAGUAAUUGACAUUGCCUUACAGCUGCAUUGAAAAGGUUGAUCAGAUUCAUACCUUAAUCAGAUCUCAUGUGAGAUUAGCAUGCACAUGUUGACCCCUCUUGGAUCUGAUCACACGUUGAAUCUAUGUGAAAAAUGCAAUUUAUGAUAUCUUCUUAAUAAUCUUCAAUGCUUGUAAACUUGUUGUAGGCCUACAUUGUUGGGGAGCACGGUGACAGCUCUGUGGCGUUAUGGUCUAGCAUAAGUGUUGGUGGUGUGCCCAUUUUGAGCUUCCUGGAGAAACAGCAGAUUGCCUAUGAGAAGGAAACCCUAGAGAGAAUACACAAAGAAGUAGUAGACAGUGCAUAUGAAGUGAUAAGCCUGAAAGGCUAUACAUCUUGGGCAAUUGGGUAUUCGGCAGCUAACUUGGCUCGAUCCAUACUCAGAGAUCAGAGAAAGAUUCACCCAGUUUCAGUCCUUGCAAAAGGUUUUUAUGGCAUUGACGGCGGUGACGUGUUUUUGAGUCUGCCAGCACAGCUUGGUAGGGGUGGAGUCCUGGGUGUGACUAAUAUUCAUUUGAAUGAGGAGGAAUCUCAUAGGCUCAGGAACUCGGCCAAGACCAUCUUGGAGGUGCAAAGCCAGUUGGGAAUUUGAGAUAAUAAUACCUCGCAUUACAUAUGAUCAACUAGUUCUUCUGCUGCAUUUUAUAGGACUAAUCUGCUUUGCAGUUUAUGAGCGAUUGGACUUUUUUUCUUCUUUUAAUUUAUACCUAAUUUCUAUAAGUUAUGCUUAUUUUUGUAUCGUACUGCAUUUUGAUUUUUUUUCAGCUUAAUAAAUGAUACUUUUUUUUUUCGCAAUUAUGAAUUUUCUAUUACUUUGAUGAGUACGUGAACUGAGUUGAUAAUGUAUAGUUUUUACUUAAAAGUAAUAGCGAACUGGGAGAUCGUCACUUCCCCUGAUGCUUUUUAGCUUUUACUCGAUUACGAUUGUUCAGGAUUGUUGUUACCCUGUUGAUGUAAAAUUUUUGGUUGGAAAUAUGUGUGAUUCCAAUGGGCAAAAUAUGGAUGGCAUGAUCAUUCUUUUAUUUCUUUCUCAACCGCCCGAAUGGCAUUGCCAAGUGGUUGGAUUGUCUCUUUAAAAAUAUCAUAUUAUUUUCUCUAUUUCCUUUUUCUCUAUAUGUAUACAUUGCCUCUGUAAUUUUCCAUUUUCCCCCUAAGAUCGAGCUAGUAAAGGAGACUUGUAAGGAUAUGUUAUUCCGUAUUGGCGAUGGCAAUGGUCGGUACUGUAUCAAAGUGAGAUCCUACUAGGAAUACGGAAUAAUCCUUUCAUCAUUUAAAUUUAGGGAAAAAAAAAGAUAUAUUCUUUUUUUUUUGGAAAAUGCUAAGUAUUAAGAAAAACGAGAGAAGGACGAGAGAAUGAAGCAUGUGAUGGGAGGAGAGAGAGAGAAAAAAAACUGACAGCUGAGAGAGAAGAAGCAAUUCUCUCAGCCUUCUCUCGUUGUUCUUGAUAUUUAGCAGCACUCUUUUUUUUAUUGCAUGAAAGUAAAUUGGUGAAUUUUAAAAUUGGAAGGAAAGAUUUGAGUUCACUCUUUAUAGAAUUUGAUGUGAUGAGGCUGUUUUAAUUCACUCUAUGAUACUAAUAUUAAACAGAACAUACUGGAGUAGAAUAUUGGAAGUCAUUAACAUUAUACCUCCCAAUUUGGGAUUGAGAAUGGUGAGUUUUAAUACCAAGUUAUUUCUGCUGGCAAUAGAGUAUUUGUGUGAACUAAAACUUUGUUAUACACUUUUUUAAUCUCGGGUUUUGGUUCCUCUUUCUCCGUGCGUUAACCAUUUCCAAAAUUUAAUAAAGAAGAUGGACGGCAAAGGUUUAUGCUUUUUAUUUUAUCUAUGUAUUUUAUUUUGGAAAGAAAUCAAAAUGAACAAGCUUUACAAUAAUAUUUAGAUCAAAUUCUUCCCGUUUUACACUUUUUUUUUCUUCAAAUUUUAUAGAUUUAAAAGAGUUUAUAAUGGAGAAAAAGAUAUAGAUGGGUUUCAUUAGGUAAGUUUUCAUUUUUAGCGCUUAUUCUGUAUGACUUAUGUAAUAAAUAUGCGUGCUUGUUUAAUUUUAAAAAAAUAUUUUUUAAAUUUUUUGUUGUAAUUUGAUUGUAUUUUGAGUAGAGCUUUUGGAGAUUAUAUAAGUUAUUCUAUCUCCACUAGCAAAAGCUCAAAUUUUGAGUUUUUAAGAGUAAAGAUUGAAGAAACUUUUUUCAAAAUUAAAUUAUCUAAAAUACUCAUUAUUUGUUUCACAAUCAUAUUUCAUUCCUUUUAGAGAACAUGACUUUAAGAACUUGUAUGUUAAAGUGAUUUUAUAAAGUUUAAUAAAAGCUUUUACUGAUAAUCAAACAACUAUUUUUUUUUAUAAAAUCUAUAUUUAUAAAAAUUAUACUUAAAUAAGUUUUAUUUAAAAAAUUAUACCAAAUAUAAUCUUAAUAUAAUUUAUUAAAAAAGGGAUGAAUUUGUAAAUAAGAUCAAGAGAGGCUUCAUAAGGGAUAUAGAAGGGUACCAGUAGCAUCACUCUUUUUUAUUUAUUUUUAUCUAAGCCCAAUUAUAGUAAAUAACUUUUUUAAAAAAAAUGGAAAAUAAUUUUAGUUAUUAAAAAAUAUAGAAAAAACGAAUAAUACCCAAAUAAUUUAUAUAACUCAUUAUAUAGUAAAAUCUCAAAAAAACGAAUGUUCGAUAAAUUAAUAACUUUGAUUAAAUAAUUAAAUCAUUUGGUCUCAAUUUGGGCCAAUAUACUAAAUUAAUAAUGUUAGUAAAUGAUAAUAACUUUUUUUAAUCGUUUAAGGGCUAGUGAAAAUAUAAACUAGUAAUUAGUCAAAUAUAAAAGUAUUAAUAAUAAAUAAAUAUAAAAUUCAUGAUAUUAAGGAGUUUUUUUUUUUUACCACUUCAGUUUUUCUCAAUUCUAUUCUUUUUCAAAAUAUGCAUCCAAUGAGUUGAGACUAAAAAUAAAACUAAUGGCAAAGUAUUUAUGAAGUUUACUUUCUAUGUACUUUGAGCAUCUAAAACAAUUUAUCUUUUAAGGUAUUAAAUUUGAAAAGCAUGUACGUAAAUUUUAUGUCUAUGUAAUACUUGUAUUAGUUUCUAGGAUUCUAUCUAGAUGUUCAUAACAUUUAUUAUUAUCAUCAUUAUUAUUUUGUCGAUAUACUUGAUAAAAUUCAUACAUGAAUCUUGGUAAAAAUAAUAAUGCACAUAAUAAGAUGACACAAGUAAUUAAAAUAUAAAAAUAUUCUUAAUUUAACCAAUGUUUAUGACCAAUAAAUUAAUAAAUUAUUCAUUUAUUCCCAAUAAUGCACUACAUUACGAUAAUAUAUUUUUUGUUAGUCCUAAUAAUACUAUUUUAUAGAGGUUUUACUCAUGAUUAAUAUGUUAAGAUUUAUUCUUAAUUAAUAAAAGUGUACAAAUUAAACUGUGAAUUUUAAGGUUAUUGAAUUAAUAUUACUGAAUAUUGAUACUGAAAAGUAUUUUUAUUUUGUGAUGGGAGAAAACAAAAAUUUUCUUCUAUGCAAAUCAUUAUAUUUUCUGAAGAAUUUAAAAAAAGAGAGAGAAUUCCGGUUGUUGUCAUUUUCCCUCCAUCUUCCUUCAAUUCGUUGGUAAAUAAACAAACUUGGCAAAUAUCUUGUAACUGUCAACUACCCAAGCCAAAACACUAUGGCUCCCACAACCGCAGCCACCAAAUCGACGUCGUUCCACCACCGCAUCAUAACCCUAGACGCCGGCGUUUCCAAAUCAAUCCACACGCUCUUCCACACAUCAAUCCCCGGGUCCCUCCUCCUCCUCCUCGAAUACUCCGCCGACUUUCGCUUCUCAUUUCCCCUCGCACUCUCUCUCUACUUCACUCCCGUCCGCCGCCCUUACCUAAUCCAGUUCCUCGUCGGCCUCCUCGUCGACCUCCUCUUUGUCGGCCUCGUCAAAUCCAUCUUCCGCAGAUCACGCCCUCUCUACAAUCCCGACAUGAAGCCCGCCGUCUCCAUCGACCACUUCUCUUUCCCCAGCGGCCACGCCUCCCGCGUUUUCUUCGUUGCCUCGUUUGUUUCUCUAUUGGACGAUUUUAGCGGAAAUUGUUGGCUCGUCUUGGGCGUGUGGACUUGGGCUGUGUUGACUUCGUGUUCUAGGGUUUUGCUUGGACGGCAUUUCGUCUCGGAUGUUCUCGCUGGGGCGUGUUUGGGUGUCCUUGAAGCUGCGUUUGUGUUUCGCUUUUUGAAGGUAAAAACGAUUGCAGUCUCAUACCUACAAAAUUAAGUCAAUUGUAUAUGCUCUCCAAGCGUUGUAAAUUACAAUUCUUGGAUAUGAAUGAUUUUGCCUACUAUGUUUGAUUGCUGAUCUUUUAUUUAAUAAAAGCCAGGAAAGUUUUUUUGUUGUUCCGAAUACUAUAUAUCUGAAUGUGCUUUAUAAUAGCUAUAUGGUUUGAGAUAGUUGGUAAUUCAUUGUAUCUUGGGAUUGGUGACAAAUGUUCCUUUCAAUGAGGUAGCUUGAGUAAUUAAGGCAGAAACCAGCUUGCAAAUGAAAAUGCUGUUUACUCUGUUAUGAAUCUCAAUCUUUAUGUGAGUGCUUAUAUCAUGGGAAGAUACAUUCUUCUCUGGUAGGUUUGCAUAUGAAGAGUUUGCAUUCUUGUCUUAUAUCAUGGGAAGAUACAUUCUUCUCUGGUAGGUUUGCAUAUAAAGAGUUUACCUAAUGGAUAAUAAUAAUUUGCUGAGUUGAUUGUACCUUUCUUGCUAAACAUGCUCAUCUUUGAAAUGACUAACACUGAUUUUUAUUGUACUUACUUUAAAAAGAAAAAAGAAAAAAACUCAUAUUCAUUAGGCAAACCCCAGGGCAGCUGGAGCUUCCACACGGGUGGUGGUGGAGAAAGUUGAAAUUUUCUGUCUAUUCUUGAUGUACAAUAGCUUCCAUUUGUAUUCUUUUCAUAGAUUAUUUGAGUUGAAUAUCUAGAAUUGAUCUUUGAGUUUGAUUACAAGUAGUCUGGUACCACCCAGGUGCUCAUUAUCUUUCAAACCAAAUUUUUAGUGUAGUUUACUUAUGGCAUGCAUCUAUUGAAAUCAUGACUGAUGAGCUUAGCUUGCAAAGAUGAUUUGAGGAAGGAAAGUGACGUUGUUGCAUAGAGAAGAAUAACAUGACUGACUAGUUUUGAAUAAUUACAAAGAAGUAGUACAAUGUUGUUGUGUGAGGAGGUGUCACUGACCUUUAGGAUUAUCAAUGUUGGGCUGAGCUAGGCCACGGUGAGCUUCAAGAGUGAUAUGCCAAUGCCUAUCUCAAGCUUGGAUUAACUUGUUAUAUCCAUGUCCUCCUUAUGCAUAACCCAGCACAUGCUCUUAUUCAAGCUUUGGGCUGAAUUCGUGCUGGGCCAAAUUAAUGAAAACUUGAACACCCCAAGCUGUUUCUCGAUGGACUAGCUACAGUCAUUUCUUCUGUUAAAUUCUGAUUCAAUUGAUUGACUAAUUGCUUCAGAGGACUUAUGCACAAUCUUUCUUCUUCAUUUUUUUUUGCGCUUGAAUUUUGUUUUCUAUUAUUUUCUUGGAAUGAAUGAAAAUGUCAUACGGCAACAACAUAUUAGAUGCUAUAAUAAAUGGCUUGUUACACUAAAAUUUAAUUGUUCACUUCUGAGAUAUGAGACUAAUGCACUGGCAUUUGCGUCCACUACCUAUUAGAGGUUAAUCUGGAAAUCCUGGGUGUGCCUGCCAUUCAGUAGCUGAAGCUACUUAUUCUCCUAUCCAUUGGAGAUGGGUUCUUCUGUGCUGUUCCUUACUUCCUCUUGGAUAUUGCAUGGGUUUUGGCAGAAUCAGCAUUGUUAAUUCCAUGUUAAUAUCUGCAGGUGUCAUCUGGGCUUUUUUAUAUUAUUGCAAUUAUGUAGCUUCGUGAAACAAAUUGAAGCUGCGAACAUACCCCUUUUUUUCCAGAGUGCUUUGGCAGAUGGUUAUUUUCUCUUUUGCAAUGUAUUACCAUUAUUUAGAUGGGAUCAGUUGAUCUCCAAUUUUACUGUGCAGCCUUUGGAGAUUAUGUUUGUAAGGAAGGAGUGUUUGAACAUUUAAAUGAGAAUAUAUUCUCCACAAUAGUUGUAAAGCAGAGCUGCUAAGAUCCCUACUGGUAUAUAGCUAGGCAUUUCCCAUUUUAAAAAUUUUCAACUCCUUCAUGGCUGUGGCUAGACAACUUGGCAUAUAUGUGUUUAUGCCAGAUUGCCAGUUGCAUCACAUUAGCUAUCACGUAAUAUUCAGGGUGUGUUGUGGAAUCCAUUCAAUCCUACAAGGCCUACGGUGGCCGCGUUUGCAUACUCUACUGUCUUCUUAGGCCUUGUAGUCUGCUACUGAAUAGGGAUUCCAGCAGAUAUUCAAGGUUCUAAUUGACUGUAAUGUUAAAACAACAGUUAAAAAUUGGGAGGAGCGAAGCUGUUGUCUUCCAAUUAUGUUGAUAAAAAAAUAGUUUGACUAGAUAUGUGUUAGUCUUCCACUUUUUCACGCUUCAUUGAAAUAGCCUGUUCUGAUAACUGUAAAUUUGAUGCUUUAAGUGGAACUUUUUGCUUGUCCAAGUUUUGAAAGAGGAAUAAAUGAUUAAUUGUUAGCAGAAUCAUCCAUUAAGUAGCUGCUUUAUUCAUGAUGAGCUUUAUCAGAUAAGGUGUUGUUGAUUUAUUGACUGAUUGUGACAUCAGAAGCUAGCUAGAUUAGUGCUGUCAAUGAUUGUUAUAAGUUGCUAGUAGUCAUUGAGGUUGUUUAUUGAUGAAAAUUUGAAAUGUUACUAGAUAUAAAGUUGACUGGUAGCACAUGGGGCACUGAAAGGUUUACAUUCAUAACAGUGCUUGUUAGCUGUUUAGUUUUAUGGGGCACAAAAAAAAAACCUUGGGAUUUAUGUGAUUUGUUGUGUUUUAAUUGCUUUUGGUGAAAUAUGGAUGCAUUCUAUUAAAUCUGAGCAUCUCUACUUUGCAGUGAAAUUGGAACCAAUGCUGGUUUUCCGUAGAAACUGAGUUUCAAUCAUACUGUUUUCCCGUGGAAACUGAAGAUGGCUUGUUCCUUUAGUUUUUAGUAGGAUAUAACUAUCAGCUUUAUAUGUUUGAACACACUAGCUUUAGGGGUCCUACCACUUGGAAAUUUAGCCUUGAAUAUGUGGUUGGUUCUUCAGGUUCGUCUGUAUUGGAGUUUUGUGUCUGGUCCCCUUGUGCUUGACCGGAGCUUUUGGCUUUUGAGUUGGGAUAAAAGUUUCUUAAUCUUGCAGGAUCGCUGCAUGUGCUUUCAUCAUUGCUUUUAUAUCAUCUUAGUUUGAAUCCUUAAAAGUGGGCUCUCCUACAAAACCUACUAAGCUUUUUCUCCCAAACAAGAAGAGACAAUCAUUGAAAAACGCAGUGAGGUUCUUACAAAGCCUACUAAGCUUUUUCUCUCCCAAACAGGGAGAGGCAAUCAUUGAAAAACGCAGUGAGGUUAAUCAUGCGGGCAUCCUAGAUAGUCUAUAUUGGUAUUAGAACAGAUUAAGCAAAUUAGAAGAUUUAAGGAAAUCAAACUUUCCAGAUUGUGUUUUGAAUUUAAUUCAAGUCGUGUCGGCAGGAGCUCGGUCCCAUCGCUAGACGAUCAACAUGAGAAAUCCAUGGCAAAUACAACUGAACAAGAUAAGAGUCCACUCAAUGGCUUCAUCGCAUAUCUAAUGCCAACCUUUCAUUGAAAAAGAAAAAGGAAAAAGCUGACUUCUUGGCAAGGAAGUAAUGCAAACAUGUGAAUGUAAAGUAGGGGUGGGAAAAGAAAUAAACGAAUCAAAUUGUAAAUGAAUUGGGUCAAAGUUCUUCUGAUUCGGAUUCAAUUCGUUUAUUAAACGAAUUGAAAUCUCAUUAUUCGGAUUCGAUUCAAUUCGUUUAGUAGAAUUAAUAAACGAAUCCAAUUGAAUCCGGAUUCGUUUGUCCUAUUACGAAUCCAUAACGAAUAGAAUUGAAUCAGAAUUUGUUUAGAAAAAUAUAAUUAAUAAAUAAAUUAAGCAAAAUAAAAUAUUAAAAAGCCACAAAUUUAAUAUCCUACAACAAAAUACAAAUAACACACAAAACUAUAUUUUAGAAUUAAAUAUACAGUCAACCUAAUUACAAUAUUAACCUUCAAAUUUUUAAAAAAAUUCAAAUAAAUUUAAGGACAAAAAAGUAAUUUAAUUAAAUGAAUUUUAAACUAACGUUUAUUAAACGAAUCCUAAACGAAUAAGCGAAUCACUAUCUUCAAACCCAGAUUCAAUUCAUUUAAUUAGUGAAUCAAAUUGAAUUCACUCAUUUAUUAAACGAAUCAAUUUUUUCAAACCCAAACCCAUUUAAUUCGCAUUGAAUCGAAUCGAAUAAAGGAAUUAGGGGUGGGCAAAAAAACCGUGGUCUUAAAAACACCGAACCGAACCGACGAUUUUUUCUAAUUUGGAUAAGUUUUUAUUUAAAAAAAAACCGAAAUAUAUCAUUUGUAAAAAAAAUCAAAAUGUCGGUUCGGUAUUCGGUUCACUCAGCCGAACCGAAAAACCGAAUUAAUUUUAGAUUUUAUUCAAAUUGACAUGUGUUAAAAUUUUUUUUAUAGAUCCAAAUAUUGAGUUGGAAAUGCCUAAAGUUGAUGUUGAUAUUGAUGAAGAUGCGAGAAUGUUGUUGGCGUUUGUUUGUAAUUUUUUUUUUUUGGGUGAAAAUGGGAGAAUGUUGUUGGCAUUUGUUUCCAAAUUUUCUUUUUAUUUUGUGUUGUAAGUUGUAAUUGUUGUUAUUUUUAUUUGUCUUUACAACAUUAUGAUUAUGUUUAUGUAGAUGGAGUAUUGGAGUUUGGUUAUGUGUUUUGAAAUUUUAAUAUUUCAUAUUUUGUGAGUACCUUAUUAGUAGUUAGUAAGAUAUUAGUGAUAAAAUAUGUUUUGAAUACUUUGUAUUUAUUGUUAAUAUUUGUAAUGAAAUUAGGAUGAACUAAUUGUUGAAAAAAAUUAUUACACUCAUGAGGCCCAAUGGGCUAAAAAUUUGAAAAUUCAAAAUAGGCCCAAUAGGCCCAGAAUCGAAAAAACCGAACUGAACCGAACCGAUCCGAAAAUAUCCGUUUGAGUUUGGUUCUUAUUAAGUUCGGUUCUUAUUCGUUUCUUUUUAUAAAAUAACCGAUUUAAAUCAAUUCUACUUAAUUUCGAUCCGAACCGAACCGUGCCCACCCCUAAAAGGAAUCAUGACCCAUAUUCCAACCCUAAGAUUAUAAAGCAGGAUUAAGUCUGAGCAGGGAAGCCUGGUCUGCAUAGCGCUGAGCUCACUGUCAUUUAUUGGUCACUCCAGCUUGUGAAAGCAUCCCAAGAAAGUAAUGCAAACAUGUGAAUCUAACUGGAUUUGUGUACUAACAGUUCUUUCUAGGAGGCUAAAUGCUUUGGCUAUCGUUGCCGUGAAGUUUGGACAUACAUUUCGAUGAACUCAGAUAAAUUGAGCAUCUUUCUUUUUCCAAAAGAUCAGGACCACUGAGUGAAAUUGGAUUCUGGAGCCAAAUAAUGGUGGAUUUACACAUGUAUACGGAUUUUCGGCAGUCCCACUUCGUCAUCAUCUCUGCCGUAAAUCAGAACCUGGGCAGAGAAAUGCAGAAGCAAAAAUACUGACACUAUUUCAGUAGAAAGAUUAGAAAAGUUUUGGGUGAUGAAGGCAAUGUAUCAUUUGGAGCCCUGUCGCGUUGCCCCACUAGUUAUGAUGAAGAAGAAAGAGGGAGAAAGAGGAUUUGUAUAUUUGCUUUAAGUUCGCUUUUAUUAUCUUGAUUAUCAUUAGAAUUUCGAGUUUUGCUUGCUUUAAAUCGAUUUUCUUUUUCUUUUAAAUGUGAUGUAACUCAAUAAUUGUGAACGAAAGUAUAAAGUCUUCUCUUCUAGACCUAACGUGCGUGGAAGCUUUGCUCUUGAGAAAAUUUUUGCAUGAAGUGAAUCUUGAACUAACCUACUUGCAAUUUGCGAGUUGCGACGAAACUUGAGGGAAAAUUGCAUGGAUCAUGGAUGUGACCUCGCUAGGAGAUAAGAUUUUACCCAACAGGUGAAUAUUUUCUUUUUGACCAAUUAAGUAGUAAUCUUGUGUUCUGUUCAUAUCUGACAAAACGGGUGGCUUACUCAUUAUCUUGACAAAGAAAGUAAUUACUGUUUUUAUUUGGACACUCUGGAAUUGCCAUGUACUGCAAUCAUAUCACAUCAUUAAUUGCAUUUAUGAGUUUGUUGGAUCUUCGCUUCCUGUUAUAUUCUCUGCUGAAGAACUUGCCGUUUGGAGAUUAAAGUAGUGUAGUUGAAUAGGAUUUAUUCUUUUGUUUUAAAUUUGUAAAUUAGAAAAAUGGGUUUUAUCAAGAAUGGUUACGAACUGGCCCUAUAUAAAUAAAUAACCUACAGUUUAGUUGUUUUUUUACCGGCCUUUUGGUGAUGAAUUAUGCUUGGGGUUGGAAUGAUAUGAUUGAUUUUGAAUGACUCGUGGCAUGUUCAUAUGUUCUAUCCCAAAUUACUGAUAAAAGUUAUGGUAGGCAGAAAAUAGAACCCACCUAGACAUUUAGCUAUAUGGAGGACACAACACAAAGUUGUACAAAAAUGUUACAUUCGUGAAAUUCACAUGCUCUCAUUCAUGAAAUUCACAUGCUCUUCGGCCUGCAAGCCACCCUGUAGACAGACACAAUUGCUACUACGAAGCCUUAAUUCAACUCCACUUUGGCAUGUUUCCCAAAUGAGACAAAAAUCAAGGACUCAAUUUAUCAAAGACGCAAUCAUUCUACUUUGUGGGUGGUAUUUGCCUUCACUUAAAGUGAUUAGCAUUGUUGAGUAGUAGCAAAGAAAAACGCAAGUAAAUCCAAGAUUUUCAUUGUCACUGGAAAUUUCUUUCCACUUACUUAGUGCUUGCUCUCUGUUGCCAUUCACAAAUGAUAUUUCAAUUCAAUAAUUGUCCUCUAUGCAUCAUUAUGUGAAUGAUACUUUUCUUGCUUGUAACUGUUCAUUAUAUAAAUUCAAGAGUCUCUGGCUAAUCAAUUUGAAUUCAAAUCUUUGGGUGCCCCAAAGCUUUUCUUUACAGAUCAAUGUACCAUACUCUCUAGAAGGGCAAUAAUAGACAACCUAUUACACUAGCCACAUGAUGUGAAGACACAAAGAAAUAAACCCCCUUCCUUUUUGGCACAUGGAGCCUUUAAUUACAAGCAAGUUGAAACUAUUGACACAAACAAGCAAGGGAAUCGAUCGGAUCCGAUACCGUGCCCACUUCAAAAAUUGCCUCGAGCGGAUGAUGGUAUGGGCAGGCACAUGUUGUGCUGGUAAGGUACAUUUUAAUUGGAUAUGAUAUAAAAUUAAUUUGAAGUGAUUGGGGAGCAUACGAGAAUUGCUCCAUGCAUACUAGACACGAGGGGCGUUGGAGGGACCGGUUGUUAUUGCUUCAAUGAGUUGUUUCCCAACUGGAAGUUUGCUUAUCCCCUUGAGAAAUUUUAUUUCAAUGUUUAGUACUUGAGAAACAUGGAUUUGAUUGCCGGUUGUUGCUUUCUUUACCCACUCGACCCACUUCCAAUUCAUGAUAAUGAAAAUUAUUUUCAUUGUUGUGGAUUCAGAAAAAGUUUCAUCAAAGUUUUGUGAAUAGAAUGAAGUUUGCAGGCUUUUGGAGGCCGUGAAGGCAUGAAUCAUACAUUUUUAGUGCCCCACGUUCCAAAAAAAUCUUUAUGGCAUCCGAGUUUUGACCUUUGCAUCUCUCUCCAUUCAGUUCAAAGUGCUUAGCUCGAUUGUGCUCUUCACCGUGCAAUGUUUUUAAUAUCUUUCAAGAAAAUGCAUGCCAAGUUGAUGAACCAAAAUGAAUCUCUCUUAAGCAUGCCGUAAGCUGUAAUCUGGCUUUCUGUUUGUUCUUUUAAAGUGACUUCUGAAAGAGUUUGGCUAAAGAGCUUUUUCCGCAAUUAUAUAAUAUCUUACAAAAUUAUAAAGGUAUAUUUUACCUUACCUUUCAAGUAUGUGUCCGUAAAAGUGAAAACCUUCCAGUUUUAUUAAAAAUACAGCGCGUGCAAUGACACCAAAUCUCUUAAGAGCUGUCACCUUGAUAGUGAGUGGGAGGCCUUGAUCCAGCCGGUGGCAAAGAGAACGAUAGCUAGAUUCCAUGAGACAAUGAAGCAAGAAUCAACGGUAUCCAAUUCAAAAACUGAAAAAAGUAACAUGGGUCAAAAAAAUCACUUUAGCCAUCACAAAAAAAUAUAUAUACACAUACAGCUCAGAUGACCCAUAAAAUUUUCUUUUAUUUUGUUUCUCUUAAAAGCAUCAUUGUCUCCUGUCGCUACAGAAGUGAUCACUUAGUACCAUCAUUGGAUUGGACCCAAUAACAGUAACAUGCCAUGCAUAAAAGCCUUUUAGCAUCUGCUUAUUACGUAUGAAAAAAAAAUUCAUAGAUUACACCAUCCCUUCUAACUUGGAAUUGAUGAUGCUCUCCAGUCUUUGCCUCCAUUUGAACAAACAAAAGUUGUACUAAUCAAUAUAUAUACCCAGAAAAAAGAAAAAAAUAAUAUUUAAAACUUUGUUGAUAACUUGAUAUUAGGAUAUAUAUAUAUAUAAAUGAAUAUUCCCGUCUGAUUCCACUUUUAGAAAGGUCAUUUACAACAAAAGCUAAGUCAUCAAAAAAGGGGGAUUUAGGGAGGCAGAUCAUAUACAGCUGAUUCCCUAUUAGCAGCUACCAAUACAUUAUUGGAUCCACUUUGUAUAAUUUUCAAUGCCAAUAUUCAUGCUGAUCGAAUAGUGUCUUGAAGCAACACUAAUUUUUAUAAAGAUAUGCCAUCAAGACAAGGACCCAUAAGACUCCUCAAUUAUUGUCUAUGUACGCAUUCACUUCAUCAUCUUGGCGCGCAAAAACAUCAAUCCUUCAUUUAAUUUUGCCGCUUAAUUAAAGAUAAUAUUGUCAUUUGUGUAAAACUGUAACGUACGUAGCACGAGUGCCGCAAGCUACGCAGAGGCCAUGAUUGAAAAAGUUUUAAGAUGUAAGAUAAAUUAUAAUUCAUUUGGAGUGCGUUUGUUAACUUGCAUUAUAGUGUAUUAUGUUGCAUUAAAAUAUUGUACUUAUGCUAAUUCAUAUUUGGCCGCAUAAUUCUAUUUGCGUUGUACUGCAUUAAAAAAAAAAAAGUGAGUAAUAUGAUGAAAGAAGCACAAAAUAAUUUCAUGAGAAAAUAAGGUUUAGACUGUAUUGCAUUAAAACACUAUAUAUAUUUUAAAUUUUAAUAAUUUUAUUUUAAAUAUGUGAAGGAAUCUAAUUAUUUAAUUAUUUAUUAUUUACUAAAAUACUAAAUCUAAAAAUAAAUUUAAAUCAAACAAUCAUAUUAGACAUUAAUAAAUAAAAAUUAAUUCAUAGUUAAAUUUAAAAUUUAAUAAUAUAACUUAAUUUAAUUUAUAUUAUCAUUUAUAUUAUAGUAAAUAAUAUAUAAAAAUAAUUAUUUAAUAAUGAAUUUAAAAAAUUCAUAAUAUAAUAUUAAAAUAUUAAUAAGUUUAAAUAUUAUAUUAAUUUAAGUUUAAUAUUAAUAUAAAAUAAUACUACAAAAUAAUAUUACAUAUAAUACAUUCAUACUAUACUAAAUAUAAUAUUGUAUUAUAAUUUAAUGGAAUACACCGCAAUGCAAUGCACCAUAAUGUAAUACAACUAAUCAAUAUAAUGUAAUGCAGUGUGCCAAACGCACCCUUGAUGCAUUGCUUCUUGUUUUUUUUAUUUAAUUGGAAACCUUUGAUUUUUGUAAUUGCUCUUAUUUUUUUCUAAUCGGAAAUUAACAUUUGAUUUUUGUUAAACCUACGUUUGCUUUGUUGGUCUACCAAAUUUUAUACAAUGGUAUAAAACUAUAAAAUACACUGUAAAUUGAAUGAUAAGAAUAAAAAUUUCGAGAGCCACAAAAACUUGAGAUUAGAACAAAAAUAUGAAAUGGCCAAAUAGCAAAAUUAGUCAAUACAAAAAUGGCCAAAUUGAAUGAUAAGAUGGAGGCUUAGUCUGAAAAUUACUCAAUAUGAAUGAGAUUAGAAAUUAGUCAAUAGGAAAUGGCCAAAUGGCAGAACAAAAAUAAGUCUAAUCCUAUUGUUAAGGCGUCCCCCACUCCCUCAAGACAUGACCACGUGUGGAUAUCCUCUCCGCCAUCACUUUCAAAGAAGCCUCGCAAUUCACAAGCUUAAUUAAUUCACUUCUAAACUGUAUACUUAUGGUUCAUGCUAAUUGACAUUUACAAUAACUUACAGUGCAGCUAAAUUACAAGUUCACUCCACCAUUGAUCCUACUAUAUUACUUAUAUUCACACUAAUAUGAUUGGUUGUAAGUUACUAUAAUGGUAACUAAGCAAAAGCUUAUACUUAUUAUUUUAUAUAUGAGUGAGUUUCCAAUCAGGCAUCCUUAACUAUAUUGAUGUCGGAGGUAAAAAAUAAAAAAAUAUAAAUUUCACUAUACUACAGGAUAAAAUACAUUGCAUUAAAGUCUAUAUUUUUAAUUUAUUUUUGACUUUAAUACAAUUAAGAAUCCUUUAUUAGAAUAUAUAUGUGUGUGUGUAUGUAUUACAUAAUAAAAUAUAAUAUAAGAAAAACAUAUAUUAUAAUAUAUUACAUAAUAAAAUAUAUUGUAUUAGAGUGUGUAUUUUCCUUAUCAUUCAAUUUUUUUUUUUAAUAAUUUAAAGAAUUCUUUAUUGGAUAAGGGAUAUAUAUAUAUAUAUAUGUAAAGUACCAAAAUCAUUCCCAUUAUAUAUUCUUCUAUGAGAUAGUUUUAUCUUCAUUCAAUUUUAAGACAACUUGUACCGAUGGUUUUUUCAAUAGAAUAUAUGUAUUCCAUAUAUAUAUAUAUAUAUAUAUAGAAAAGUGAGAUUUUUGACGUUAGUAGUCUGGCACUCAGAACUAAGUAACAGGUUUGCCUUUUAAAGAGAUGCGAUUAUACAUAUUGCCAAAAGAAACGACUUGUGAUUGGGACUAUCUUAAGAGUUAAGCUCUUGUAUGUAGUGGGGCCAUGUGAGAGAGGGAAUUAACACAACUUAAUAUGGACACAUGGCUUUGGGAUAAGGGGGAUGGUUUCGGUCUCACAAAGAGUUGACACCAUUAUUUUCAGGGUUUAGUGACUUUGAUUUGAUUUCUCCUCGCCCAUUUCAUGAUAUUUAAUGUAUUAUGUGAAUGAUUUGAUUUUGAUAUUCAUUUCGCAGUUCUCUGUCGUUACUGUUAAGCCAUGUCAUCGAACACAAACUUUGCUUUUAGAUUCCUAUGAAAGCUUAAUGUGUGUCUUCUCGUCAAAAACCAUAUUCAUUAUAAUGAACACAAAGUAUCUCACCCAUUUAUCAUGUUCAUAUUAAACUCUUGGUUCUUUCCUUAUCUUGUAGCUAGUUAGCACAGUACUCAAUUAAUUUGGUCGACAACUGAUAACAACUAGAGUUUGAUUGACGUUACGUUCAGUAACCCAACAUGGAGAGCCUUAAUCUUUUUGAAGACGUUGAAAUGGUUCAUAAUUCAAUUAUUCAAAUAAAGACUUCUCAAUGAGAAAAAUAUGUAACAGCAAGGUCCCCACCGAACUCAUUAAUUUCUUUGGCGUCACUUUUAAUUUAUUCGCAGAUCCACACCUUACUAAAAUGGUAAAAUGUAGGGACUAACUAGUGAUACAUGUGGGGUUCAAUCUUUGUGAUGAUUGAUAACCAUUAUACUAUUAUCAACCACACACAGAAAGUCAUUGCAAUAGUUGUUUCAACCAUUAAUUAUUGCUCGAACUAUAACUUGUGGCUUAACUUGAAAUAUAUAAAAGAAAGGUUAGAAGUUAAAUGUAACAUCCAUCAAUACAAGUAUUGCACCCACUAAGUUUUUUAAGUGUUGUUUUGGGUUUGCUCAGUGUAAUAUUUUUGUGUUUGAUGUAUAAUGCAACAUAGCCUUGACCACCAGAUAUGGGUGAAUCAGAUCGUUUGAUGAGUCUGCGAGUCAGGCCCGUGGCCGGCUCAGCAUAUAUCGUCGGCAUAGAUACAGUUCACUUUUAACCUACGUAUACGGAGAGAAAUCCCACCUGGCCCCAACGCUGUGCUCUUAUUUUAACAACAAUAUAUGUUAGUUUACUGGAGUUAAUAUAAUAUACGUAAACCCUAAUUACCCGUCGCUUGCGUAAUAAACCAUCUUCUAGGCCAAGGCAAAGCGCUGAAGUGAAGUAAGAAAAUGGAAGAAAAUGCCUCGAGAGAAGAAGAGAAAUAAUAAAAUAAAAGAAAAGUGGGGGGGGGGGGGGGGGAAAUAAAUGUGGAAGCGUGGGGAGUGGAAGAGCGAGCCGCAUGUGCAUAAUUAUUCUUGUUGUUCCCGUUCGUAGUGGACGCGUGUCAGACCAGUUUUGGCUUAACCUCCCCGCCCCGUCGUCCGGCUCCGUCCACACGCACCGUUUAAUCAUACGAUCACUUUUAUCUGUUUAAUUAAUUAUUUUUCAUUUCAUUUCAUUUUACAUUUUAAUAUUAUAAAAAUAUUAUGUUUCUUACAGUUACAUGGCAGCGGACUACUGCCGUUCUCUCGCUCUUUCCUCUGUUGCAUCACUUUCACGUAUUUAAUGUAUUGUGCUAUUCUUUGAAUUCAGAAUCAAUUUUUUUUUUUUUUUAAAUACAGGGUGAGGGUGGAUUUGUUUAGCCGGACUUUUGAAAACAACAGUACUUUUGCUUAAGGAAUUUAUUAUCUAUUAGUGCACAGAAAGAGAAGAAGAAACAAAGGGAAUUUAUUGGAUAGUGCAAUCCCUAUUUCCCCCCCUAAUAAUUUAGUUGUAGACUGAUGAUGUUACAUGCAAAACACAACUUGAUUUAUCUCAUUUGUUAAAUUAAUUAAUACAACUACAUUUCACCUCACGCACCUGCUAAGGUUCAUUGUAUAUAAUUUAUAUUUAAUCCAAAAAUAAUUUUUUUUUUUAAUUUCUUUGGUUGUUUGACAAGAAACAAUUGAGUUACAUGAAAGAAAUUGAUAUUAAGUUGAUCUAAGGUGCAAAUUAUGUAAUUUAACAGCAUCCUUCAUGUCAUAUUCGGGAGAAUUGAAAGGUAUUGUUUAUUUUUAUGUCUGAAAAUUGAAUAAUGGGUACCACACCCAAAACUUUAUGCAAAUUUUAUUUGGAACCUUGCAAUCUUUUUAAAAUAUGAAGAAGAAGCAUAUAUAUAGCUUAAAAUGAUAUUUAUGUCAAAAUACUAGUUUUCAGCUUUUUCUGUUCAGACGUUAAGAAAAGAAAACAAACAUGUCAUUUAAGUAUUUGCGUCCAAACCUAUUUAAACUUCAACUAUAUUCAGAUUUUAGAUUAAAAAAAACAAAUACAACUUUCUAAAACCUUAGGUGUUGGGAUAAAAAAACUGUUUUUUGUGGAUCAAAGCAUAGACAUUUUUAAUUUUUAUGUCUAAUCUAUGAUAUAUACUACUAUGUACACAUACUAUAAAAUUUAGGAUAUCAAAAUUUGAGAAUAUAACGAAAAGUUGGAUAUUUUAAUUUGAGAUUGGAGGUGUUAUUAACUUAAUAGCACGACAUCAAUUUCAUAAAAGUACGUAUAUUCAUUUUAAUCAUAACCCAAUAACUAACUCAGUUCCUUCUCAACCCAAGACUUCUAAUUUUAGCCAAAACAUUUUACGAACAUGUUCAGACAUUGAUGUUUGUAGACAAUAUUAAAGCAUUUACAACUUCCCGUUUAGCCCAAUAUCGAUGAAUUUAUUGUAGUCAUUGAUUUGUCACUUUCAUUAGAUAGCUUUUGGAUUUUCUUUUUGAAAUUUGUUUUACUUUUGAUCCCGUAAAAUGUAGUAGGUCAUAAGAUUAAGUUCUGUUUCUUCCAAAUUAUGGAUCAUUUUGGAGAGAUUUGUUGGAAAGUCAAAAAACAGAGAAAAUAAUGUUAUAGAAAGAAUACUCUUAAAAUAUCAUUCUUUAUUUAUUUACUAUUUAAAACGUGUAUAUUUAUAUGAUUAGUUGAAGCGUGACAAUAAACAGAAGGAAUAAUUUUUUUCAAUAGACUUGAAACCCAACUUAAAUUGAAUUAUACGGCGAUAAGUAGUUAAAUAAUAAUAAUAAUAAUAAUAAUAAGAUUGUUGCUAACAUGACCUUCGGUACUUAAUGGAUUGUAUGAGUUAUUUGUUGGAAUUGUUGCUGUUGCAUAAGAAGAUUCUACCAACAAAAAUGUCAAACAAAUAAUAGAUAAAAAAUAAAAAAAAAAAGAGAUACGUGAACUCAUUAAAAUAUUCUCUACACCCAUUUGCUAUGUAAACCAAUCUGCCUCUCAAAUUUGAAAAUUUAAAAUUUACUAUAUAUAUAUAUAUAUCCAAUCAAAUACCAAAUCUGCCCUCUAAUAACUAAUUUUUUUACAUUUUCACAUUCUUUUUUACUGAACAAAAUAUAUUAGAACGAUUUAUCUGUCAUUGAUUACCAAGCAACCAAAUAUUUGUUCAAAUAAAAUCGACAAAAGAAAUCAAUCAAACCCAUUUUAAUAUUAUUUUUUAAUUUUUUAGGUGUGCAACUUUUUAAUCAUGACUUAUAAUGUUCUUUAUUUCUCAAGUUUUCUUUCUUUGCAAGUGAUUUCAAAAUCCAAGCUGAAAUAAACAUAUAAAGAUAAUUGGGAACUAAUCUACUAGCUGCAGGUUAAGAUUAAGCCUUAAGGCACUUGCAGGCGUAGCCGAAAAUUAAUGAAUAGAUCACUAACAGGAUUUUUUUAUGGCAUGCACAGUUACGCGGUGACAUGAGUCGUGAGCAGAACAGGAAGCAUAAGGCAAAGGCAAAGCCGAUCAGUGAGCAUCUCUCUCGAUUUAUUUAUUUUUUUAAUUUUUUAAUUUUUUUUUUUACAAAUAAGCAUGAAAAAACACCUCCUAAGACAAUUCCAUUACUUUAUUAAACGAGGUUAAAAAAAGAUUAGAAAAACACAUUAGCAUAUUUCCUGCUAAAAAAAUAAAUUAUUGAUUUUGAAAAAUUUAGAAAAGAGCAAGGUAUUUGGAAUGGAAGAGAUUCCAUAGUUUAAUGCGAUACACUCCUCUCUCUCUCUCUCUCUCUCUUAAAGGAGCGAUACAUUCAAUUUGUGAAAGUGACACAAUUGUUUAUGAAACAAAAUAAUUAUUUUUGCCACAAAUCUAUUUUAAUAUUUUCCUUUAAAAAAAAAUAAUCUUUUGUAAUAUUUCUAUUUGAAUUAACAAAAAAUAAAAUGACUUAAAAAUUAUCCGCAACAAUAUCAAUAGUAAUUGGAGGUGAUAUUUUUCACACUCAAAAGUUUGGAAAAAGUUCAUAGACCCAUUAACAUAAUACAAAUUUACAUGAUAAAAGCAGUUGUUCGAUUGACCUUUAUCAGUCAAGUCGUUAAUGAAUCAACCUAUUAAAACCCAUUCCAUAAGGGAUCAGAUCCACUUAUAAGAUCAAAACAUUUCUCUUUACCCAUUAACAUUUAAAUGUAAUAAUUCAAUAAAAUUUUCACAACUUAAAUUAUAAAUUUUAAAGAAAAAUAAAUUUUUUAAGUUCACUACUCGUGUAAAAUAAGCGUUAAUGCUCGUUUUGUCCUUAUAAACUAAGGAAAGGUUUGUUUUUCUGACUUAACGACUUAAUUGAUAUAAUUUCAAUCAAUUAAGUCACUAAGGUCUUAUUUGUGAUUGAGGUGAUAUAACUUUUAACUUAUAGUUACUAUGAAAAAAAAAAACUGUAACUAUAAAACAAAAGUUAAUAGUAUGAAGUAAAAAUAAUUUUUAAAUAAUAACUUUAACAAAAUUAGUAAAGAUAUAAUAGAUUUUUUAUCGUAUAAGUGAAAAAUCAUAUAAUUAUAGCUUUCAAUUUAUAAUAAUCAGUGUUUACCAAACACUUUAGUACUGUAAUUUUUAAGUUACAGCUGUCCACCCUCAAUUCUAACCAGGGCCUAAGUGUGUUAGUUUUUUCAACUCAAUGAAAAUUUUUAGUUAUUAAGUUGUUAAGCCAAUUUUUUUAGCUUUUUACGCAACCUUAAAAGUCUGAAUGACAUCAUUGUAACAUAUUUUGUAAAAUAUCCUUAUUCAAAUUAAUUUAUUUUCAUCUUUAUCUAAAUUAAACUCACUAAUUAGCAUUAUUUUUCAUCUUUAUAACUUGUGAUAAUAUAGUUGGAGAUUAUUAUUAUUUUUAAAUUAGUAUUAUAUAUCUUUACAAAUUUUUAUGAAUAUUUUUCAUAUAAAAUAUCAUAAGCUAUAAUAAAAUUGAUCAAUAUAUUCUAGUUUAGAGUAUUAAAGGGUUGUAUUUAUUUGAACAUAAUGUAUGUUAUAAUUAAAUACUAGAUUAUUUAUGCUUUUUGAUAUGUUUAUUAUUUGUUUAACAUUAAAAUUAUGUAAGGGCACAAAUGUAAAAUAACUUGAUUUCAAAAUUUUUAAGUUGAAAAAACCAAUGGGUACUUAUUUUUAGAGAUCUAGAAAAAAACACACAAUAUUAUAUUGAAUAUUAAUGUGUAUUCCAAAUUCAAAAUAAUCCAAAUAUAUUUAGAUUACAGAUUAAAACAAUAUUUUUUUAAAAGAAGACAAAUUAAUUUAGCAAGAAAAAAUAAAAAAAAUUGAAAGAGAGAGAAAUUUGUUCGGAUUUUUAUCAUUAUUACAACAGAGAGAGAAAGCAGUUAAUACGGAUAAUUUUGUAAUUUUUUAAAAAUUAAUAAAUUAAAAUAUUAGGUUAUAAAUUUGUAAUGAUUUUAAUUAAAAAAGAGUGUUGAAAAAAAAUUAAUAAGUUUAAAUAAUCCACCCAAAUUAAAAUCGGUAUUGAUUCUAAAAACUCGAUCCUACUACAUUUGAUCGUAAUAAAUUAUAAAUUUAACAAAUUUGACCAUCAUGUUGUUGACUGUACUUCAUUGAUGAAUAAAAUAUAUUAAAAAAUCAACACCCACAAUAUAAAUAAGAAAAUUUGAAAUAAUAAUUAUUAAGAGAAGAAGAUGUGCAUGAUCGAAGAGUAGUUGGGAAAAGAUCAUUCUUCUGUUUAGGUUAAAAAGGUUUCCAACUUUAACCAACCGCAACUCAGUCAAUGGGGGAGGCACCAAAGGUUCAGUAACGUAUGCUUGUUUGCACAAUUGCACUGCACUGCUUCCCAUAAAGCCAAAGCCUUACUUCUCGACAACUCCAUCUUUUGCGUUUUCUUCGCUCUCAAUUUCAUCGAACUAUAGAAUUAUUCAAAUUUUUUUUUAAAAAAUUUUAUUUAGAGCAAAAUUUGAAUAUUUUAAAUACAGCAAAAAAUAAAAAUAAAAGGAUAAGAAAAGACUGAAAAAAAAUUAAUGAUUACGCAGUAAAUGCCAUUAAGGAAACGCCUCAGUUACUAGUCGUCAACUGCCACAACACAGUCUUCUGUCUUUUGUUCAAACUUGUCGCAAAAUUACGACGAUAUUUUACCGAUAAAUUACAAAAUAUCGUUUCUUUAUCCGUGUCCCUUACUUAAAGAAUACGAGAGAGGAAGAAAAAUGAAGGAACGAACAAGUCUUUCUCAAACUUUGUUUUUUUGCCCCUUUCGUAACUCAGUUUGAACACCCAGUUAAUUACCAUUCUGCCACUCUCUUAAUUACCGCCUGCAGCCACCUCCAAUGCCGCGUAUAAUAUAUAUAAUCACGCACUAGAACAUCAACAACAACUGAAAAAGAAAUAUCAAAAUAUUUUUAUUUAACGGGAAUAAUUAUAAUAAUAAUUUUAUUCUUGCUUUGCCAUCAAUUCAAGCUAAAACUCAACUCUCUUUAUUUCAGUAGUCGCUCCCUCCCUCCUUCCUCUUCAUUCGCCGAAUCUCUUCGUUUGUUCGUUAAGUUGUAUUUGCUUGGAUGGAAAAGUGAGAGAGUAGUGUGAGUGAAUUAAACUUUGUGUGAUUGAGAUCCAGAAAAUGCGGGUGAAAGAGAUGCAUCCGUUAUGCUGUAUAUCGCUGGAAAGUCCGGAGAUAGGUGACCAGUCACCGGAAAUGUCGCUGACGAGGGCUAGGAGUUUACCGGCGGGGGCGGUGACCGGCUUUUGCGGAUCUGAGGGGAAUGCGAAAGGAUCGGAGGCCACCGUGGCGGGGGUUUUGUACAAGUGGACGAAUUACGGUAAAGGAUGGAGAUCCAGGUGGUUUUUGUUGAAAAACGGAGUGCUUUCUUACUCUAAGAUUCGGAGAACGGAGUAUUUGAAUUUACCCUCGUCCAGGGAUGACGUCAGAUUUAUCGGUGAAAUUUCCACCAAUCGGCCUUCGAGAACGGACAGUGGCGGCUUUAGACGGAAGCAACAGAAAGACGUUGGCAUUGUUCAUUUGAAGGUAGCAUGUAGUAAUAAACAUACAAUCAAAAUAUAAAAAAUGCUAAUUAUAAAUAAAAGUGAAUUAUUAGAACAAGAGAUAAUUUAAAAGCCUUUUUGGCGGUACAUUACAUAAAGAGGUUGCUAAAAUUGGUUAAAAAAACUUUGAUUAAAAAAUUACUAAUUCUACCAUUUUUUUUUUCUAUUUUAAGUCUUGAAAUUGUAAGUUUAUAUUUGGUAAUGAAAAGAAAGCUUUGAUGUCUGAGCAAAAAGCAAAGCAACAGCGGAGAGCUGAAGGUGCAGACUGUACAGAGCUACUCUUCUUUGUCAUGUAAUUUACUGUGAUGUGAUCCAUGAAGGGCGUUCCUUUCUCUCUCUCUUUCAUCAUUUUUGUGAUUUGCGAUUUCGAAUUUCAAGUUCAUCUUUCACCUUUAAAAGCCUGGUGUUUUUCUUUUUUCCUUUUCUUUUUUCAACAGUUUAACUGGUUGUUAAUUCGAGUGGGUCACAUCAGCAGGUGGCCUCAGACGGGUUUUGAUAGGCUACAGUGUAGGUCUAGGUGAUCCGCUGUCGUGUCACAUCAUCUCUUCUUGAUCGGUUUUCGUUGGUUUAAUAAUCGGGGGAUUUCAUUCAUCUUCAUCGUCCAUUUCUUUUCUUUUUCAAUCUUUUCAUUUAGUUAACUCCAUACAAACAAUAAUCUCUUCUUCAGAUUCUCACGUCCCAACCCGCCCUGAUUGGUCAACUUACCUUGUUUUGUUUACCAUCUUCCAUCUUAGACUGUGCACUUUUUUCUUUUUUUCAAACGUACUGAUGGAACAGUGCUCAGAUUAUUAUUUUUUUUUUUUUUGGGUUUCCUGUGAAGGAUAGCGGUGGGAAUUUGUUUGUGGCCGUCACUUUGGGCGUUUGUGUUCUUUGACGCGUUCUGCUGGUUUACUUUAUUUUAAGCUAUCUGGUCUACGAGCGAUAGGUUUCGAUUUUCCAGUGAAAUAAAGUAUCGAAGAAAACAGUCGUGGGGACUUUUAGUCAACAGUCAGUGGGACUUUUUAACUUUAAGCUAUAUGGAGAUCGAGGAUGAGAAACUAAGAAUAUUCUUUGAGCUUCUUACACGUAUGCUCCUUUCACCAGAUCUGAAUACUGAAUAGGUUCCCAUUUUGUUUUGACCCAGUGGUAAAAUAAUCUUGAGUUUACUGAGUUUUAGUGGGUCUCCCUGUUAGUUAGUACCUGAUAGCCAUUUCCUCAGUUCAGUUGGGUCAUUGGCUUUUGGUGACCUGGAGGGGAUUGUCUGAUUUCUGAGUUUACGACUGGUUUCGCAUCUGGGUACGAGUACUAGUUUGACUCGUGCAUUUAUUCUCGUGUUUUAUGUUACCGUGAUGAGCAUGUAUUUCUCUAAUGGAUUUUUUAUUAGACAAUGUGAUGAUGCCAGAGUUCGAAAAUUAUCACAUUAUCUUACAUAGAUUUUAUUGGAAUUUUUUUCUCAGAUCUCGUCAUUUCGAGAGAGCAAGUCUGAUGAUCGGCGGUUUUACAUAUUUACUGCUACGAAGACCCUACAUUUGAGGACUAAUUCGAGGAGAGAUCGGGUUGCUUGGAUACAAGCUUUGGUCUCGACUAGGAGCCUAUACCCACUGAGAACACUGAAUGCUGGUCUCUCCAUUGUACCAAAAGAUUUAUCUAUUUCAACUGUGAGGCUUAAAAAGCGCUUAGUUGACGAGGGAGUUAGUGAGAACCUUGUCAAGGACUGCGAGCAGAUCAUGCUUUCAGAGUUCAAUGAAAUUCAAGGACAAUUCAAAGUUCUUUGUGAGGAACGAUCCAAUUUACUCGACACCAUAAGGCAGUUGGAGGUAAUUGACUAAAUUAUGAGUAUGCUUUGUUAAUGAAAUGCUUGUAACAGUCUUGAGGACUUGUUUUUGUCUAUAGCCACAAUUUUAAUUCGAUGUAAACUAAAUUUAGUAUUUGCUGAAUUUUUAUGUUUACUUGGAUGGUGCAUUUAAUUCCCCCUUUUUUUUUUCCUUCUCUAGAUUAUAGUUUAAUAUAUCCGGGGAGGAUGUGAUAAUUUAAGAAAUAUAUUCUGUUUUGUUGUGCUUCAGUGGAUUGUAGUCAUGAUUACUUGAAAGUUUUCAACUUUUUGAUAUUUUAAUUAAGGUUUCUUGGGAAGUUAAUUAACCUCUCAGCCUCGAAUUGCCUUUUUUUUCUUCCCUCCCCGUCAUCAUCUCCCAUUUUUCAUCUAAAAUCAAGUUGUUUAAAGUUUUCCACUUCAUUAGCACUGCUUUUGAUCUUUGUUUCUUCUGACCAAUCCUCUUGAACAAUUAUUUAAUGUUGUCUUCAAUUGGUUUUUUCUGAACUUCAUGGAACUUCCACUUCUUCCUCCACACCCACCUGCCCCCAACAACUAUUUUGGGCUUUGAUUUUCUGUCCAAUUGCCUUAACCUCUUGACUUUUAAGCCACCAUUUCUUAGAGGCAUACUUCAAAUUGUUUUUCGCGAUAAUAAACUUCAUUGAUGAAACCAUGCAUUUCAGAUGCUGAUGUUUGUUUGAUGGGAAUAUAGUAUGCGUAUCUACCAUUUAUAACUACUCAGUUCAACAAAAAGAACUUCGAGCAUGUUUGACAAUGGUAAGAUAAACACUUUCUUUAGUUAUUUUGAUGCAGCAAAUGCAUAGAACAUUCAGUGUCAUGUCAAUAACUGCUGGUAUUUACUUAUAUCAAGAAACUAAUUGAUAUUGAGCUAUUUUGAGACAGGUCUGCUUUUAAGAUUGCUUCUUGUUACAUAUUUUGUUAAAAUCCUAAUUUAAUACCCCUAGGUUCCAGGUGUUUUAGUAUCUACAUUUUUCAAAUAAGAUAAGAAUGUUAUCUGGAUUUGUGAACCCUUCAGCCUUAAGUUGAGGGAUUGAAAAUUGAAACAUGUUACUUUCUCAAAUAAUUAAUAUGACUUUCGGAUUUCCUAUUUCAUGUUUCUGAUAUGAGCAAUGACCAGCUCUAGUCGAGCAACCUUCCCAUGCAAAAUAUCUUUUCUUUGCCGGUGGGCUAUUUUAUUUCUUCGUAGAUGCUUGCUUUAGAUGUUCUUUCUUAGUCUACUGGUCGCUAGAGGAUAGAUGGAGUUGCAUAAAACUUUUGUGUCAAAUAAAUGCGGCAAACCAGUUCCAUUAUGGAGGUUAACCAGCUAUAAAGUUUAGCCAUGUGUGCUAAGUGCACAUCCAACCUUUUCCAACACUUAGCCUGUCCUUAAUUUACACAUGCAAACUCGAUCCCUGCUUCAGUAGAUAAUGUCUAUAAAAGACUGGUUGUGCUUAUGGACAAAAUCCCUUUAGGUUUUAUUGAUCUCUACUAUGCCAAGCUAUUACAGCUUCUAUAGGUUUGAUUGCAAUAUUCCGACCUGACCUUGCUAUUUAGGAGUUCCAAAGUACUCUUCCAGGGAGGUAUUACAAGGAGUUCCAACUAGUAAUUUUGCACCAACAUGUUGGUUUUUUGUUUAUUUAGUGUAAUAUAGGCUCCUUUUCUUUGCUUUUGCUAAGGACCUAAAAAGUCGGUGCAACCUCUUGUAACCUUGUUAUGGAUCGACAGAGAAUUCAUGUCAUGUCUUAGUGCAAAAUGUUUUCAUUCAUUUUUUUAAUCUUCAGAUUGGGGUAUCCGAUUUGUAAUGUAUGGGGUUAGUUGUCAUGAAUUUGUCACCCUGAUGAUAUAAUUGAAUGGAACCAAAAACUUAUUUAUUUUUCCAAUGUAAUGUCAUCAUAUGUGUUUUUAUGCAUAUAUUUGUGUAGAUAGAUGGAUAUAUGGAUAUUGAAACUCAAAAGCUGAAAAGAAUACGCGUCGUCUUGGUGCUCGUAAUUUGCAAUUAGUGACACCGGUUAUUUGUCACAACAUGCAAGUGGUUUUGAAUUUGUUAUUUUGUCAAAGUUUCAUAUUGAAAGGUGUAGAUUGAAUAUUUUUGGUUGCUUGCUGUUUUUGUCGGUUUUCCAUAUGUGCCUUCACUUUUUUAUUCUUUAUUUGUCUGUGAUAUUUAAAUUUGGUUUCCUUUUAUAAAAGUGCAAGUGUGACUUAUGGUUAGAUCAUAUAUGUUACGAAAUAAGCUUAGCUUAUCCAUUGUAUAUCAAAAACUUUUCCUUUUCUUAUGCAGGCUGCUAAUAUUGAAGCUGAUGCUUCUGGAACCCCUGAUGGUGAAUACCAAUUGUCCAAGCAUGAAUUUUCUAAUCUAGGCCGUGGAAAAUAUAGUGGUACUAGUGAUAUCCAUUGUUUAAGCAUCUCUUUCUUUGUAGAAAAGUUUAAUAUUUUUUUUAUAUUUAAUUAUGUUCCUCACAUCUCUUUUCGGUUUUCAGAAUGUAGCACAACUGAGUCAUCUGAUGAUAUUGAGAAACAAGAGCUUGAGGAGGUAUCAGAUGACGAUGAAAUUUCCUUCUAUGAUACAAGGGAGUUCUUUACCGAACCCUCUGUUAGUUGUAGGCCUGUAAAAGAAGUUACAAAUCACGCCAGGGAGGAAGAACAACCAGGAAACACAUUUAAUACUUCAGAGAAGAUGUAUGACGAGAAGGAAAAAUGUGAUUCUAGAUAUCCAAACAUUGAAAGGCGAAAGAAGCUGCCUGAUCCAGUGGAGAAAGAGAGAGGGGUCAGUCUUUGGUCUAUGAUUAAAGAUAAUGUGGGAAAGGAUCUUACACGGGUUUGUCUGCCUGUUUAUUUUAAUGAACCAAUAUCUUCCCUUCAAAAAUGCUUCGAGGACUUGGAGUACUCUUACCUUCUGGAUCGAGCGUACGAGUACGGAAAAGCGGUAAGACUGAAAUUUAUGAAUUCUCAGUGUCUAGUCAGCCGUGCUCCGGAAUUUAUGUAUUUACAUUGGUGACAUGAGUGUGUGAACGAGUCUAGUUCAUGUUAUUAUAUACAUUCCACAAGAAGGGUAGUGCAUUUAAUCAUGCUUUUGAUGUGAGGAUCUACUAUUUGUCUUGUAAAUUCCGUUGCAUCAAGGCUUCGUACUUAAAGCCUACAUGCUGAAAAAUUCCCUCUUCAUAUUGUUGUGUAGGCUUAAGUUUUUUCGCCUCUUAAUUGUAGUCCUGUAUCCAUUAAAAAGAGUUACCUGUCACAAAUUGGAUGAUAUAUCAGCUUUUAUACUGAAUUGUAACGCACAGGAUGGGCCUCAUGGAUGUUUUGGGGGAUGGUUUGGGAUUGAGUUGUAGAAAGGAGAGGGCCUCUCCCAUUGCAUUUUAAUGUUUAGCAAUCUGGAUAUCUUUUGGACUCUUUGGCAUUUUUAAUGCUGUUAAAUUUUUUGUAAGCAUUAAAAAAGAUAUUAUACUUUUAUUUUUGUUAAAUCUUACAUAUGCUUCCUUUGGCCAUGUAAUACCAUCAGGGAAACAGUCUCCUCAGGAUUCUAAAUGUUGCUGCUUUUGCUGUCUCUGGAUAUGCUUCCUCUGAAGGCCGGCACUGUAAACCCUUCAAUCCUUUACUUGGUGAAACUUAUGAAGCUGACUAUCCUGAGAAAGGAGUCCAGUUUUUCUCUGAAAAGGUCAGUAUCUGGAAUUUAACCGAUUUGCCACCCAACAUGGUGAAAGAUAUAUUCAGCAGUUGCAAUUUUUUUUAUAAGAAUAUAUGCAGCAAUUGUAAUGAACUAUAGCAGACCAAUUAGCUAAUGAAUGGGCACUUUUCACUUCCCAACUGUAAGCAGAGAAUGGCCAUAUACAUUUUUGGCAGAGACUUCAGCUAAUGACAUUUGAAAAUUUUUGAAAAGGAUAGGAGUUCUGUUGGUGGCCAUCUGGAUGGUUGAAAGAAAAAGAAAAGAGCAGGAAAAAGGCAGGACCUCCAUUUUAUUUCCAUUCUCAGAGGGAAUCAAAUUUCCAUAAUUACAAUCCAUAAAUGUAUUUAGAUGACUUUUGUCAAGGCUUUAUGCAAUCUUGACAAGUGAAAUUUUUUUCAGAAGUCUGUCUAGGAGGAUUUUUUCUGAAGUAUUCCUUUGCUGUUCAGUGUAUAUAAUAGAUAAACCAUUAUUUAUAAAUAUGAUAACAUUCCCUAAAAACAUAGGAAGUGGAUGGGUUGGGCCUGGCAUACUUCAAAUACAAUUUGACCACUUUCUAAUAUUUAGGCUGUUAUGAUUUGAAUACGAAUGCAUCUGUUAUAAAGCAUACCCAUAGAUUUUACCAAACUAAUAUUUCAGAAUCAAAACAAAUUUCAGUAAUAUUUUUGAAUUGGAGCAGGUCAGUCACCACCCAACUGUUAUUGCCUGCCACUGUGAAGGGAAAGGGUGGAAAUUCUGGGGUGACAGCAACCUCCGGACAAAGUUUUGGGGGCGAUCAAUUCAGCUCGAUCCAGUUGGAGUUCUGACUGUAGAAUUUGACGAUGGUGAAGUGUUCCAAUGGAGCAAGGUGAGAGAUGCUGCAUGAUUGUGUUUAGGCUGCAUUUUAUAACUCCAUCUUUUAUGAUCUUCUCUUUGGUUUCUUUUUCUCUUUUUCAUAGAAUACUUUCAUGCUGUCUUAGGUCACGACGUCCAUUUAUAAUCUUAUCCUUGGCAAAAUAUACUGUGAUCACCAUGGGACAAUGGACAUUCAUGGUAAUUGCCAAUAUUCAUGCAAACUCAAGUUCAAAGAGCAGUCUAUUCUUGACCGAAACCCUCACCAGGUUAGUAAUACAUUUUUGGCAAAUUCUACUUUAUUUGUUGUCUUGGAAAGAAAGUACCCUUUGAUCAAGCUUGGUGCCGUAUUGGUUAAUUGCUUUACAUCUCUGUGGUUCUAAAGGCAGCUGCUGAAUUGGGAUAUUAUGAAACUUGAAAAACAAUUAUGCUAAUCUGUCUAACAACCAACUUCUAUGCAGGUCAAUGGGUUUGUUGAAGAUGUUUUGGGUAAAAAAGUAGCUACAUUAUUUGGGAAAUGGGAUGAUAGCAUGUAUUAUAUUAGUGGGGAUGGGUCUGGCAAGCUGAAGGAUGGCAAUGUCUCGCCUGAUGCCUCCUUGCUGUGGAAGAGAAAUAAGGCCCCACUAAAUCUCACUCGGUACAAUUUAACAUCGUUUGCAAUCACACUAAAUGAGCUAACGCCUGGACUGCAGGUAGAGAUAGUGUAUUAAAUCUAUCUCACAUGCCAUUUCUAUUUCCCUCAUAUGCAUAUCUAAUUGUUUCUUAUAGCUGUGUCUGAUCCCGGGUAUUUGAUCACGGAUUAAGGAGAAGCUUCCACCUACGGAUUCCAGGCUAAGACCAGACCAACGGCAUCUGGAGAAUGGUGAAUAUGAAAAGGCAAACGCGGAGAAACAACGAUUAGAAAGGAGGCAAAGAAUGGUAUGAUUGGUACCUUCCCUUUCUUCUUCACAUUAUUUUUUCAUUCAGCUUGAUAGAGUUUUAUAUUCGCUCAUGAUUUUGUAUCAUGUAUCAAAGAUGCUCAACUACAUGUUUAGAUAGUACAGUUGAUCCAUGGAUAAAUUUUCUAUAUUGGAUCCUGCAAAUUGUCCGAUUCCCUCAUCAUGUUCUUAGCAUUUCUUUGAUGGAUAAGUAUGAAAGAUUAUUAAUAGUGUGAACUGUGAAACAUUUAUAUGAUGCUAUUGAUAUGUGUCCUGAUAAUUUUAAUACUUCUCAGCAAGAAUCUCUACAUUUAGCCGGGAGUGGUUAUUUAUUAAGCCCACAUUUAUGAAGCGUUUACUCUAAUUCUUAUUUUAUAUCAAACUUCCUCUUAUUUUGCAGUCAAGAAAAUUACAAGAAAAUGGGUGGAAGCCUAGAUGGUUCCGGAGGGAAGGUGAAAAUGGAUCCUUCCGCUAUGUAGGUGGGUAUUGGGAAGCCCGCGAGCAGCUCAAGUGGGAUGAAUGUCCAAAUAUAUUUGGAGAAUUUUGUGAAGAUGUUCACAACUCUGAAGACUCUUGAAGUUAUGAAGGUUCGUACUUUCUUGCUUGGAACUUUACAUUUUUGUGUUUAGGUAAUAAAGCUUCUGUUCCAGCAGCAGUAGCAGCGACAAUCCACAUUUGUAUGGUCAGAAUUGAGCAUAGAGUCUGUGUAUUUUUAUCCAAGUCAAAGACUAUAAAUAUUUAGAAUGUCACAUCAUUUACAUGAACAAAUUCGCUAGAUUAUUUUUUCAGGUCAUUGAUGAAAUGCGAGCUGGUAUGCCAGCAAAAUGAAUAUAGGUUGUGAUUUUGCAGACAAGGGCUUUAGUCUUCUUGUUGCCUGAAUUCCACCAUCACCUAUUUGUGCUCUUAAUUUCCGAAUGGCUUUAUAAUGGCCAUCUUUUUUCUGUAACUUAAAAGUUUCAGAUGGAUAUCAGGGAGUAUAAGCCUUGCGAAGUUAUUGGACCAUUCAAUAAAUUAUUAAAUUUUCCUUUUGUUUUCUUUGUUCCUCAAUUCCGUCUGAGAUCAAAACGACGGGAAACUACCUGCCUGAGGGACAGUGGAAAAUAAUAUGCUUAUUCCCACCAUAGCUUAUAUUUACUGUUUUGUAGAGACCUCAUGGCUCUUGACUUUCUGAUUAUGCAGAUGAGCGAGUUCUCAUAACUGUUUUGGAGCAGGCUGUAAAAGCAAGUGGUCCGGUUGCUCAUGAUUCUUCAGGUUUGCCGAAGUUAUAGUCGGGUAAACAAAGUCAUUCCCUGUAACAUUGGAAUGAAGAUACAGAUGAUCAAUAGGCCAGCCUAGUAUUUCCUUAUUGAAUUCAAGUUUCUGUGAGCAAGGGGGUUGGCGGGAAUCGUUCGUGUAAUGUAGUCUAUGUCUCGCUCCAUAGUUCAUUCGUAGUAGUUCCUUCAACACUAGUAGCCUCUGGCUGGCAAUUUCGUUUUGUUAUUAUUUAUAUUUUUGUUAGGAAUAAAUAAUAAUAAUAAGAAUAAGAAUAAGUAUUUUAGCUAUCAUUCGAAAAUAGAUCCAACUAUCAUUAUGUGAUUUUUCUACUCUUCCACACACAUGCGGAUGAUGAAUAACAUUGGGGUCGCCAUUUUUUGUGUUAUUUGAAAUAAGGACAGUUUUUCUUUCAUUUGCACGAAAUAGGUCCCUGUUGAAACAACCAACGUUACCUUCAUGAAUUGGAUUGUAUGUGACUUAACAUAUUUCAGUUUUUCUAAUGUAGGUUAGGGAAAGUCUCACUAAUGAUAAACUAGAGGUGAUAAAAUAGGUUAUGGCAUGAUUACACAAUAUGGAUAUUACCUGAUUUUUAAGUUAGGUAUAUACUAAUGAUAAAUUAGAGGUGGCAAAAUAGAUUAUGACAUAAUUACACAACGUGGAGGCAACAUGAUUUUUUAUUUUUCAGUAUUCGUGUUGAUAAAUAUUGACAUGAUUGACAAGUAGAUUGACACGACAAUAAAUAAUUGUCUUAGACCAUCUCAGAAGAUUACAUGUUUAUAACAGGAAUAUCAAAUAAUAUGUGGUUAUGUUAUUAAAAAAAUGAACUAAUAUAUCUAUUGAACACUCAAUUAAUUAUUGGUGUUAUAUCCAUAUUGUGUUAUAAACUUAUUUAUGUUAUGUUAAUUUAUUUAUGAUCUAUUUUUAACAAUAAUAUUGACAUAUUUUAUAUUUCUUAAAAUAAUUUUUAAUUUUUUAAUUAAAUAUGUUAAAUUGGUCAACAUGAAUGACAAGAUUAAUAAUGGUUUGUGUCCGUGUUUUGAUAUAAUUAAUAAAUAAGUUGUAUUCGUAUUUAUUUAAAUUUGACACGACGCAAAUAAAUUACGACACGAACAUGAUAUGAUUAUAUAAAUUGACACCCCUAUGAUAAACUAUGUCCUUUGAGAAAAAGUGAAAAUGAGUACUUAGUAAAGAAAAAUUAAAUCGUGAAAGUGUUAAAAAAGAGACAAAAGCAUUGUCCACGAAAAAAAAUGAAUGAUUAACGUUUAUUACUCGUUUUCUUAACGUUCUACAACCCACUCCCAAUAUAAAUCAAAAGAAUGAGUCCAAAGCAAAACAUAAAAUUUAGAAGUUUGUAGGAAAAAAAAAAAAAAGAUAAAGGAAAAUAUAAAAUUUAGAACCCAACGUAGAAAACUAGAAAUCCUAAAUAAUGUAACUACUACAUUUAUUAUACUUUAAAAAUGAAAAAUAAAUAAAUAAAUAGAGUCAUCAUAGAGUGAGAUUAGAAUGGAUUUAAGAAAGAAAAACAGUUAAAAGGAAACACGUAAAAUAGAUUGAUUAAUUUAUAAUGUGGAGUUUAUCUAGCAUCAAGAAUCUCUUCUAAUUUGUGGAAUUUUAACAGCUAUAUUUUUUAAAAGGGGUUUCAUAACAUAAAUUGGGGUUGGGGGAAGGCUUGAGCCGUUAAGUGGCUUUGGUGCGACUAUAUUUGCAUCUACUUAAAGUCCCCCAUCGGACCAGAAUCCUGGAUUCAUAUUCAUCUGGGCCAGAUUUAAUUUCCUUGCAGACUACCUUGGAUUAAUAACAGUCAGCCCGAGAUAUAUCCAUACAAAAUCAUUGGGAUUCAGUCUGUUCAAAAGAACAGUAGAUCUUUUGACGCCCUUCAAAAUUUCUUCUAAAACCUCUUUCAUUUAAAAUUAUUAAAAUAACCAAUGUCAAAUUAUUUCAUUUCUUAUUUUAAAAUUAAAAUUCAAUUGUUAAUUUAAAUGAAAUUUUCUCUUAAAUGAUUUUUUACACCCUUCUCAUUUCAUAAAUUAGAUUUAUAUUUUAAAUUUUAAUUGGAUUUUUUUUUUUAAUGAGAAACUGAUAAGAGUUGAGGAUAUAGAGAUAUAAACUAUAUAUUAAGAAAAAAAUGAUUUAAGAUUUUAAAUUUUUAUAUAUUUUAAAAUAAAAAAUUUAAAAGAAAUAUUAUUUUUAGAGAAAAAUUUUAUAGUAAGAUGGUUGAUUUUAAUAUAUAAUCAAUAUUUUACUGCUUAAACAAGGGGUAUUUCUUAAAAUACAACUUAAAGAGAUUUGUUAUAAGAAUUGUAGUGGGGUGUUAAAAGAUCCACUUUCAAAAUGAUGAACCUCAAAGUCAAAUGAGGCCUUUCUUUUGGGAAUAGGCUGCUGCUGCGGCUAACUAGUGUUAAUAGAUACCUCUUAACACGGGCUGUUUCCUUUUCUUUCUUUCAAUGUUUUUUUUUAAUCUUUUUGAUUCUUCAAAUUUCAAAUUUAUCAUAUUUAAAAAAAAUCAAAUUUAUUAAGAUAUUCAUUUGUCUAGUUAAUUUAUUCAAUAAUGCUACACAUCCCAAAUUUCUUAUCCCAAAAAGUUAUCCCAAAUGAUGUGUCAUUAAUUGAGUGGUUGAUAAUUAUUUACAAUAUCCAAGUGAACUAAUUGUAUUAUCUCACCAACCAAUUGAUAAAUGCCACAUCAUUUGAGAUAACUUUUUGGGAUAAAAAAUUUGGGAUGUGUAGCAUUAUUGUAAUUUAUUUAUGUCUUGGAUUGGAACCAAUAAAUAUUUACGGCUGCUGCGCCUUUUAAUGGAUAGAUUAUGUCUGGAUUCCUGAGGUCAUGUUCCUCACUUUGGUUAUAGUUGUAUUUUGAUUUGUUAAUCAAGAACAAACAUCACCAUCCGCCGAAUAAUAAAUUCAUUUCAUCACUUGCCUCUUUUGGAAUCUAAGAAUAUGUAUAUACAACACCAUAUUCAAGUAUUCCACGACCUGACAUUUAUCAUUCCGAGGCUUAUUUCUAGGAUUUCAAAACGAAUUAUUAUUAUCUCUUAAUCUAAACCCUUUCAAAGUUUAAAGAUGUUGUAUAACCACGAUAUUUUGUCUAUGAGAAGCUCAAUUUAGGAGAAAAUUAUAAUUCUUUAUAUAAUAAGUAAAUGAUGUUAUGAUAUGUGUACAUUUAUUUUAAAAAGUUACUAUAUAAAUAGUAGUUAUAUUAAAUUUAAUUACACAUAUAAUAUAUUUAUUAAUUGAUUGUACUACCUCUAAUAUAUUUUAUAAUUCAUCCGUAAAGUCGUUUACUAAUAACCCGAUUAUUUGACUGUAUUAGUGCGUUGGAUGCAGGGCAUAACCAUAAACUUGAGUAUAGAAUGAAAUUCAAACAAUUGAUUUGCAUGAAGUUCAAAGCCUAUCCAUUGAAGAAUUGGUUUUUGAAACUGACAUGCUACCUAGAAUUUGGCAUGUUCUUAUAUCUUAUUAGUCCUAUCAUUACCUGCUACAUGCAUGGGAUACACUUGACAAAUAAGAGAUGAUUGCGUUCAAAAGAAGAUCUUUCUAAUGUGUAUUUUGCUUGCACGAUUGAUCUUAAUUGCUGCUCAGUUGAUUGCUCACUUAGGUAUUGUUUGGGAACAAAUGAAAGACUAAUAGGAGGAUGUCACAUGUCGAUGAAGCUUAGAAAUAGAAGAGUUACCAAGAGGAAGUUAGCUUACACUGGGAACACCCGAGGUAAAAAUAGAAAACAGUCUCCGCCAGAUUCUAACAUGUGUAUAUGUGAACAAAUAAUAUAAAUAAUGAACAAAUUUAUUCUCCAAGUAUGCUCCAAGGGUCCAAACGGCCAUAGGCAUAAAAGGAUAAGAAUAUCCUUCCCUGUGAAAGAAACGCACCAAUAAAUUAAUGCUAGAUGGCAUGGUGACAGAAAUACCUUAGACACAUUCCACAUAUAAAUGCUUAAGUUUUCACAUUUUUUCCUAAGCAAUACACACAUAAAAAAAGAAAAAAUAAAAAAGGCCUAGGUUCGUCUUCAACCUUGAGCCAAUACUUUUUUUUUUAGAGUUGUCAAGCUCCUGACACUAAAAAAGAAUCUAAAACUAACUUGAGUAUCGGAGUGCGGUCACCAGCCACUACUGGCUCUACCUCUAAACUUUUUAUCCAUUUUACAAGAUAAUUAAGCUCCCAAAAUCACCUCUUUCCAGAUUCAUUCUCUUUCUAGCAAACUCACCACACUUGUUCUCUCUUGAGCUUCACGGAAGGUCCAAAUAGAUAGCACACCACAAUUAUGCUAGGCAUAAAACUCCCAUUAUUUAUAAAUUUAUUGUAUUUAUCUAGAUUUGCAACUUACCCCAAAACCUAGUUAAAACAGAUAUAAUUAAAUAGCAUGCUAAUUAAACUUGGAACAGGAGCAGCAGCAAAUGAGAAGAUGCCAUUUAGCCAACUGGCAAAUAUUGAAAUACAUGCACAAGUAUUGGAUCCAAUCUAGAGAUUUCACGUGGUUACAUAGGAGCAUGGGCAUUUUGAUGCAUGCCAAAGAUGUUCGAUCUUUUAGGGGUCCCGUUAUUUGAAUUCAAGGAACAAUUUGAGGAGUUGUGCGCCGUCGUUCGCCUGUAGAAUCCUUUGAUGAACCGCAUGUACAUGGUAUGAUGGUAGGCAAAUAUAAUGUUAAAUGAAUAGUUUAAACUUCGAGAGGUCAGAGAUGCCUCGUUGAAAUAAAACAACUGCCCAUCGAAUCUAUUUGUGUAGCUGUUGUCUAUUAUUGUGUUGCAACCCUCAUCCGUUCUACGAUCGAAAAUAUCUCAAUUGUGGGGCACUUUUCACUAUCCAAACUUGAGAAUAUUUAAUGAUUUUUCAAUUCAUAUUGUGAUUAUAAUUGUUGAUGACGAUUUUCGGCAUUAACGAAUGAAUUUGCUUAGGACAAUACUUAGCCUUAGGCGUCUUGCGUCUCACCAAAGGGGGAUCAUAAUAGAGAAAAAAAAAAUUUGGAAAGGCCAUAACAUAGAAACAAUGAACCUGAGGGCACCGCGCGUAAAAUAAAUUUAAGAAAUAAGAUAAAUUUUAGCUAAAGCCCUAAUCUUUCCCUUCUUUAGUGUUUUUUUGGCUCUCAUACCGAACUACUUGGAAAAUGGUUCUCGUUGUUCACCAUGAUUCGUAUGGAUGACAUUUUGGCUACUCUAUCCUUUAUCUAUGUACAUGAUGAUUUUACUUGAGAUCCAUUUAGUAUAACUUUUCAAAUAGAGCUUAUACAAAUAGAGUUUUUAUUAGUACAAUUUUUAUAAGUAGGGCUUUCACCAAAAAAAAAAAAAAAAUUGUUUGGUUGUCAAUUAAAACUUUUAUUAAAAAUUAUAAAUUACUUUAAUAGGCAAAUUAUUCAAAUUUAUGUUAUUAAAGGAAUAAAAUAAGAUUACUAAAUAAGUAAAGGAUAUUUUAGAUAUUUUAAGAAAUAUCUUAUUUAAUCUUUAAAAGUUUUACUAAAAAAAUAAUUAAAUAACAACAAAAAAAUUAAAAAGAACUUAUAAGAUUAAAAAAUAAAUUAAUAACCAGUCAUAUCAAACAGACACUUAGGAAAUGAUAUGAUUACGAGGGAAUUUUAUUUUUUCAUGGAUAGUGUCAUUGACUGAGUCAUAACUUUGUAUGGGAAUAAAAUUAAAGUUGUAUAAUAAUAAUUUGUCCUAAUAGUAUAACUCUCAUGAAUAAUACUAAUAUGUGUACUCAAAUUUUUUUUUACUUUACUAAUUAUCUUCACAUGCUUAAUUUUCUAUGGAGAUAAAAUUUCAGCUCAUAUCAUAGAAGAUGAUUUUGGACUUUAUCAUCUUACUAAAAUAACAAUGACCGUUAAUUGCUUUCCGUCUACAUAGACUUUAGCAUGUGUGAUAUAAGGUUAAAUUAUUUGUCCUUUUAUCCUCGUCUGCAAACAAGUUUGUAGUGAAGUGUUGGAACUCAAUAAUAUGUUAAGGCCAUAAUUUUUCCAAAAUAUUUGGUAGUUAAUUUUGUUUGACAAUUUACUGUGAAGAAAUUAAUUAAAUAUUGUUGAUCUUAGCAGGGGAAAAAAAAAGCCAAUUUUUUAGCCCGAAUGAAGCUAAUUUGAAGCAUUCAAUUUUAUAAAUAAAUUUUACCGGUUGGAGUUUCGUAUGAAUUUACAAAUCACAAUCGUCAAAAGAUAUGUUAGGUUGAAUUUGAAUAUAAGGACAAUGAGAGAGCAUUAAAAAACUAAACCCAAGAAAAGUUUUCUUCCAAAAGCAGUCGUAGAUACUUGAUAGUAAAACCCUUUGCAAUUAAUUAAGUUUCCAUCCUCUUUUUUCUUUCAAUUCUUCAUUGGUUGAUUACAUAAAAUUUAUAUGCAGUGAUGAUUUGUAAUGCUAAUAUUGGUAAUCUAACAAUGCUGUUAAACAUAAUCACCAUCCGUAGAUGAAAGCAAGAUUGAGUUGUUAAAUAUUUGUGGGGAAUGAAAUUUUAUCGAAAACUGUAAUUGCUGUACUUUUAAAAUUAAACUGAAGUACAGACACUUGGUGUGUAUAGCUAACCAAAAGAACAUUUUGUUCCUUUUAAUAGAAGUUGCUCCUUUCCUUUUUUUUUUUAUACAUGUAAAGGUUACAAACUUAUUAAAACCCAAAAAGACUUUGUACCGAUACAUAUUACAAAAUUCAGGAAGAGACCAACCCUUGUUAAUGGCAGGCGGGCUCUGGUUCCUCCAAUUCAAUUCCCUCCUCUGCAAGCCUCUUAUCCUUGUACACAUACCAUCUAGCAAAGGCCAAGUAUAUAACAAAGUUCAAAGCGCUCAAAAUUGCCAACAGCCAGUAGAAAUCAUAUAGCCUCCCUUGGUUUAAAUUGUCUGCUAGCCAUGGCUUCUUAACCCCUGUCACUUUGUGCACCAGAGAGACCAAUAAAGAGCUAACGAAAAAUCCUAGUGACAGUGUACUCAAAAACAAUCCUGUACUCAUGGUCUUCAUCCCUUUUGGACACUCCCUUAGGAAAAAAUCAAGCUGCCCUAUGUAAGUGAAGGCCUCUCCUGCACCCACCAAGAAAAAUUGAGGCACUAGCCAGAACACGCUUAACGGGAUCUCGGCCGUUGGAUCAUUUGUCAAACCGUGUGAUCUUGCGGCUCUCAAUCGCUUUAUUUCACAGAGUGCUGCUGCUACCAUCGCAAAUAUUGAAAGCACUAGACCAACACCAAUACGUUGCAGUGGGGUGAGUCCUUGUGGGGUCUUAAAAACUUUUCUUGCAAUUGGAACUAUGAUUCGGUCGUAAACUGGAACAGUCAAUAGAAUGCUGCCAACAAAGAAGAAUGUCAAUGAAGCUCCAGGGAUUUCGAAACUGCCAAUGUGACGGUUCAUUGUUGUUGCUUGAGAUACUGAAAACGUGGUCAUUUGGGCAUAGACCGUCCAAAAUAUUAUAGUGGUUGCCCAAAUAGGCAGCAUUCGGAUCACCAUUUUCACUUCUUCAACAUCUGUUAAGGUUGCUAAGUUCCAUUUAUUGAUCACCACGGCAGUGCUAUUACUCAUAUCUGAGUCCUUGAAUAUUGCUGCCUUGUCCAAGAAACUGCACACAAGAUAAGCCACACCAAAUAUUAAUGUCAGAAAUUAAUAAUCAGAGAUUAUGAGUAACUAUUAUUAAAUUUUUAAUUGGAUUCUGAAUAUGUCGUUUUACUAUUAAUAAACUGUGAUGAAAUGCAAGAGGACAAGUAAUAUGUCCAUGGGUGAGAACUUUCAAUUUAUAUCAUCAAUAUAUAUGUGUAUAUAUAUAAUCCUUCUCUCCUAGGAUAUACUCACUUUUUGUUUGAUAAUAUAUAUAUUAUCACUUUUUGUUUGAUAUAUAUAUGAUCAAGACAAGGAGCGUGGGGAUCGAUCAAGCGACCAGACUGCUGGCUUCGUGGCUCGAGAUCUUUUUAUGAUUCUUUUGUAAAAUGGAUGGUAGCUAUUGUUUAAUGCAUGUUGCAUUGAUUCUUAAUCAUUUUGUUAUUCACAUAAUCUCAUGCGAUUCAAGCCGAGCACUUCUGUUUCUUUACAAGCCAGGAACCGCUGCUGUAAAUAUUAGGAAGGAAAAUCCAAAACUAACCCUUGUCGCAUGUGGUAGAAUCUCAAGGGUAUCAAAAAUUUUAUGUACCAAAAAUAAUAAUAGAAAAUAUGAGAUUCGGUGCAUUCCAUAUCCAAUAAUGCACCUGUUUCGAAUAAAAAAAUGAUGGUUACUCCGAAGAUAACCCAAACUUGUCACCGAUCAAUUCAAAAAUAAAAAUAUCUUUUUAAAUUUUAGUGAUUUUUUUGUUUUGUUGGGUCCAAACUGGGACCCCAUUAAUUCGGUCAGUAUAUCAGCACUAAAAAAAAAAAAAAUUUCCAAUAAUACAUGUGAUAAGGACAAGUCACAAGCAACAAAUAUGGUAGCUUGUACCGCCAUGGCAAGAGGAUUUCCAACAUCUCCUCUAAGCUAUAAUUGAUGGAAAAUAUAGCAGCACAUGUCAUGGUGGAUUCAUCACAACAGCUAGUUGAUUAUUAUAAUUAUUGUAAAUAUUGUCUUUCCUUAUACAGCAUCUGGAACAUGCAUAUCCCCCAAGGGCAACUGUUUUAAAUAACCUAAAAAAUCAUAGAAGAAGAGACUGUCGCUUUAGGCUCUGGCAGAUGACAUAUGUCUAGCCCGGUACCCUUGGCAUGUGGUAUGUAAUGAAUUGUCUCUAAUCUCGUGACAGAAAAUAGCUAGAAAAUUGUGUCCAUUAAUGGGCAAGAUGUGGCAACAUCAAUGAUCAAUGAUCAAUCUCCACAGACAAGGGCCGAUGAUUAUGACUCCUAAAUCAAUAAUUCUGGUCUUUGAUUGAUCUAUGAACUAUAGUUGGUUGUCAAUCGCCCAUCAAAAACGGCCCACCCCAGUAGAU
RNAcentral lists this long non-coding RNA (83083 nucleotides) under Citrus maxima (pomelo). Its description in RNAcentral is "long non-coding RNA (CMAX_LNC002121)". The record is from RNAcentral. Lineage: Eukaryota; Viridiplantae; Streptophyta; Magnoliopsida; Sapindales; Rutaceae.